RNAcentral lists this long non-coding RNA (88862 nucleotides) under Triticum aestivum (bread wheat). Its description in RNAcentral is "long non-coding RNA (TAES_LNC013740)". Lineage: Eukaryota; Viridiplantae; Streptophyta; Magnoliopsida; Poales; Poaceae. The record is from RNAcentral.
AUGCAUUAAAUACUCCUUCAAUUGUGUAUCCCCUCUCUUUCCUCUUUACCUUCUCGAUCUCCCAUCGAGCCAACUCUCUCCCCCCAAGACGGCAAGAUGUACCAACGGAGAGCCACCUGUUUUCUCGUCAUCAUCGUCGUCCUCCUUCUCCCGCCCCUGCUAGCUUCCUAUCCAUGUGUGGCCGCCGCACAUGGCCCACCACGUCAUGCUCCAGGUACAUAUAGUUCCCUUUUGAUGUUUUCCGAAUAUGUGCUCCGUUCUUUGUAUGUAUAUACGGGCCCGUCGAUGUAAUUAUGGUGAUGGUGCUAGGUGGCGACGCUGGUGCGUGGGGUCAAACAGACGGGCCGCAUCGUCAAGGGGGGAAGGUGCCAGGGAUGGGAGCCGCGAGGCGCUUGGGACAGAGGAUACCGCUGACGGACCCUCCGUCGUCAAUCCCUAACAAGAACUCGGGGGUGGUGAUUCCCCUGUCGCCGCCACCACCGCCGUUGAUCAAUUAAUAGGUGUUGGGAGUCUGGGUACGAGCAUAUUCCAUGGUGACUUCUGUGCACCUCUGGUCUCUUACUAAUGUGUUACAAGAAUAAUGUUGCUGGUGUGAAAUAAGUUGUCAUGCUUCAAAGUCUUAAAAUGUAUUGUUCACUUCUCUAUAUCAACCUGGACUUCUGAGGUAAAUGGUGGAAAUAAAUCUUUUUUGUUUCGGUGUGUUGCGUGGAUAUGCACCACAGCAUAAGGAACGGCUAGCUGCCGUGUACGAAAGCACUUUUGGCCAGCGGUGUCAAACAAAGUUCGACGCAAUUAUAUACUGUAUUGCACAACUACUCGUAUAUAUGACGCUCACUUAUCUCCGGUCUAUACAGGACAAAUAUGGUAGCCGACAAAAGUGAGUUCCAUGAGCUUGCAUAUGCGCCUCCAUGUGAGACGUGAAGGUGACUAAAAAAUGCCAUUCACAUGUCAGUUGGCAAAAAAGGUAGCACUGUAAUCUUCCAUGCUUAAGGGCAUCUUCACGGGUAACCUGUAAAUUUUCUCCCGCAUCCGUCCGCGGACAGAGAUCAGUUUAUGGACACGAAUGCAGAAGGCCACCAUUCAAUCGUAGUUUGUAUAUGUCCGUCAGCAAAUUCAAAUUUAAAUGUACACUGAUCUACACAACAUGUCGGAUCACAUCCGCGCCGGAUCGUAACCCCGAUCACAACCAAAAAAAAGGGAAAUAUGCUUAGUUUUUACAUAUCCGAAUCCAAAAGAACAUCAGCCCAGGUCCAGCAGUCCGUGCAUUUCUGCCCUGCCGGACCGGCAAUCCCAGCAAGCUGCUCCUCGAUCAAGGAGGUGUCGUUGCCGCCGCGUAGGCAUCCCCCGCAUCCGCGUCAGCCUCCGCCUCCGCCGCGUCCUCAUCUUCUGUCGCCGCCAACUCUUCUUUCCAACCCUCCAACAUCUGGUAGCGGACGGAUUGCGCGAUAAUUCUAGCGCUGGCAUCCAAAGAGUCGAUAUUCAAGGUCAAUAUCUUGGCAUCCUCCGCAUUAGCGGCGAUCUUCACCCUCUUUUCAUCGAGCACGGUUUCUUUUCCUCGAGCGCGACCUUCUUCUCCUCGAGCACCGCUUUCCUCUCUUCGAUCAUGGUCCUCCUCUCUUCGAGCUUGAUCUUCUUCUCCGUCGCCUCUAUCAACUGUUUGAACCUAUUCGCUAGCUCCAUCUCCUACAGGUUCUCCGACGUUUCCAUGCUCCGCCUUCCUUUCGGGUGGGCCAGGGGGCGGAGAGCGACGUUUCGCGUGUCUGGAGUCCCGCAAAGGCCCUCACAUUUUUCUUCGGUUUGCGGGAGAAAUCACGUCCGGACCGCUCCGCGGACCGAUAUAAAACAACGAUGGCUGUAGGAUGGCUUUCCAUGAUUCGGACAGCGGCGGACGGUUACCGGAGGUUUGAGGGGCGUGGGGAUGCCCUAAUUAAGAAUCCUCUUGGACGUAGGGUAGAGUUGAACUCGUGUUCAACUACUGCUAAGAAAUACCGCACUCGCGGGAUCCAGGACAGGACAAACGGCCGUGCGGACCUCGAGGUCAACACACGGAAGAGAAGAGACAAAAUUCAGAGUCCCGAGUCGACAAUUUAAGAACGCCGCGAAUCCUACAGUGAACAGCUAGCUCACAUCUGCAGAGUCUCACUGUCUCAGUGGCCAGUGACCGGAGCUGUACAGAUAUCUUCAGAUCUACAGAGUCCAGUGGUCUCCGAUCAACCUACAGCUCGACCGAUGCGUCGCCGGACGGCCGUCCGCGCGGCCCUCGUUGCCGCCGCCCUCCUUGUCCUGCUGGCCACGUACCCACCGACGGCGCGUUCUCCUCCAGGUAUGCAUACCGGCCACUGCGAGUUCCAAAUCCCAGCUUAUGUGUCAGUGUGUGUGUGUAUGAAGGGAUCGAUCGUGGUGGCCGCAUGCAGUGCUGCUACUGGGUGGCGACGCCGAGGCGGGUGCACGGGGUAGCCGGCCGGCGCAGUCGACGCCACGUGAGAGAAGGAAGCUGGGUGUGGUAGCGGGCCGGCGCUUGGGCCAGAGGGUGCCCGUGAAGCCACCCUCGCCGGACCCCAACGGCUGGAAGACGAUGGUGAAGCCCGUGUCGCCGCCGCCGCCAUCAUCAGUGUACUAGGUGUACGAAAGCAGUAUGCCGAUCUGGUGCUCACUUGCCCAUGCUAUGCAACGUCGCGUACUUGCGCGUGGGUGGUGGCUGCAAAAUCUUGUCUUAAGAUUAACUUUUCAUUUCUUGUGCGGCUUCUAAUGGCACUUAUGGAUGACUGGAACGGUCUUUUGCUCCGUGCAAUCAUGAAACCAAAAUAAGGUUAAUACUCUACUCUUUAUUAUUUUUUGAGCAAAGCUUAAUACUCUGCUGGUUAAGUACAAAUGUUCUGGGCUUUUGGCGGGCUAAAUUGUGUAUGGGUCCAGCCUAGUUGUGGGCUUGCGGCUCAACUUCAUACAUUUCGCUUUGUGAGAGAGGUGAAGAUAGGGGAAACUUUUCGGCAUUUCCUAUACGGCGCUUAAUGCGCCUGUUACAGUAUAGUUUGCAAACGGGCGCACCCCCCGCGACCUCCUCCUCAUGUGCUAACUACGGUAGCCAUCCAGGAAACGCACCCCAAUGUGUUUGGUUACUCCAUUUUAUUCUUUCAUUCUUCCUUCUUUUCUUUUAUUUUUCUUAUUCUUGUUCUUUUUCCUUUUUUUGUUCCUUUUUCUUUUUGAAAUGCAUGAUUUUUUAUCAAAAUCGAUGAACUUUUUCAAACCCAUGAACUUUCAAAAAAUGGUGAACUUUUUUUCCACAAUUGAAGAACUUUUCUGAAUUCGUAAACUAUUUUUGAAAAUCCAGUGGUUUUUUCAAAUUCACUAAUUUUUUCUAAAAAAAUAGAUUUUCUUUUUCAAAAUCCAUGAACUAUUUUAGAAUUCGAUGAACAUUUUUCAAAAUCAAAGAAUUUUUUUCAGGUUUUGUGAACUUUUUUCCAAAAUUGAUGGUUUUUUCAAAAAAUGAUGAACUUUUUUUAAAAAUUGGUGAACUUUUUAAGAAAAUUUUUAUGAUAUUUUUUCAAAAUUGAUGAACUAUUUUUGCAUGUUCAUGAACUUUUUCAAAGUUAAUAGGGCAACUUUUUUUGCAUGUUCAUGAACUUUUUCCGUAAUCUAUGAACUUUUAAGUUUUUCUAAAGAAAAUCACGUAUGAGUGGUUGUAGUUGUUCAUAAAGUAUUAGUGUUGCGAGGUACUCCAGUGGUUAGGCUAACCCACGAUAAGAGUGUAGGGCGCGAGUUCGAUUCAUCGCGACAAGCCGACAACACCUUUUGUGGGGGGGGGGGGGCGGUGGCACUUUUAAUACCAUUCUACGCUAACAACACUGAAUAGGAGCUCCAAAAAAAUUUCAUUCACGUGGCAAUUAACAAAUAUGUAAAAUAGCGUGAAGCGUAUGCCUUAGCAGGGACGCGUUGCGUGUUUAUAUAUGCAUAGAGAUUACAGGGUUAGUUGUCAGGUAGUUGCUAGAUUGAUCUCCAUGUAAUGAUCUAUACAAGGGAUAUACGAGAUCAUCUACAACAACCCUAACAACCAGAUUAUAGACGCAACGCAGCCCUUAUCUACUCGCAUGUACGGUUUAUACGCAUACCGUACAUACGUUUACAAUAUACACUUUAACACGGCCCCUCAAUCACAACUUCACCAAGUUGAGAUUGUUCUUAAACUCUUGCAACUUGCUCCAUGACAAGGCCUUGGUAAACCCAUCUGUAACUUGAUCAUUUGUAGGAAUGAAUUGUAUGUCUAGUAGCUUCUUGGCUACUCUUUCACGAACAAAAUGAUAAUCAACUUCAAUAUGUUUUGUCCUUGCAUGAAACACUGGAUUUGCUCACAGAUAAGUAACACCAAUGUUAUCACACCAUAAGCGUGCAACAGAAGAGUGUUUUAUGCCAAGUUCAUUAAGCAAUGCCUGAACCCAUAUUAACUCAGUUGUUGCAUUAGUAAAGCUUUGUAUUCAGCUUCAGUGCUAGAUCUUGACACAAUAGCUUGCUUCCUUGCACUCCAAGAUAUAAGAUUUGGUCCAAAGAAAACCGCAAAGCCUCCUGUAGACCUUCUGUCAUCAGGACAACCUGCCAAGUCUGCAUCAGAGAAGACACUUACCAAAGUUGAGGUUGAUUUUGUGAAUUUUAACCAUGUACUCAUAGUACCUCUGAGAUAUCUCAGAAUCCUUUUGACUGCAGUCCAAUGCUGAAGAGUAGGAGCAUGCAAAAACUGGCAUACUUUGUUGACGGGAAAACAUAUAUCAGGUCUUGUAAGUGUUAAGUAUUGCAGAGCACCUACAAUACUUAUAUAAUUUGUAGCCCCUUCGGCUCCCAAAGGCUCACCCUCUUCUUUAGACAACUUUUCAGUGGUUGAAAGAGGCAUAUUUGAAAUCUUACAAUUCAUCAUACCUGAUCUUUUCAGUAUAUCUGACACAUAUUUUUCUUGACUUAGUAGUAUGCCAUCUGUUACCUUCUUUACUUCUAUGCCCAAGAAAUAAUGCAAGUCACCAAGAUCUUUUAGAGCAAAAUCCUUCUUAAGAUCUUCUAAUAGUGCAUUAGUUGCUUCCUGUGAUGAGCUAGCCACAAUUAUGUCAUCAACAUAUACCAACAUAAAAAUAAUUACUUUGCCUCUUUUAUAGAAGAAGAGAGAUGUAUCUGCCUUUGAGGGUCGAAAUCCAAGCCUUAGAAGUUUUACACUUAGCCUAGAGUACCAUGCUCUAGGUGCCUGUUUUAAGCCAUAUAAUGCUUUAUCAAGUUUGCAAACAUGAUGUUGCUUGCCUUUUACCUCAUACCUAGGUGGUUGUUUCAUGUAAACUUCCUCCUCUAGAGCGCCAUGAAGGAACGCAUUCUGCACAUCCAAUUAACGAAGACUCCAACUGUUUGAUACUGCAACAGAGAGAACAAGUCUGACAGUAGCUGCUUUAACAACAGGGCUAAAAGUAUCCUCAUAGUCUAUUCCAUAUCAUUGUUUGAAACCUUUUGCCACUAGUCUAGCCUUGUACCUGUCUAUCUCUCCAUUAGCUUUCCGUUUAAUUCUGCAAAGCCAUUUACGAUCAAUGAUAUUUCUCCCCCUUGCUGGAGGGACUAGUCUAGCGUUGAACAAGGGCAAUAUAUUCCUCAUCCAUAGCAUUUUUUUCAAUUUUUACUUUCAAAAGCCUCACUUAAAUUGUUGGGUUCACCCGUGACAGCAAGACCUCCAAAACGCUUGUCAUACCUGACCGUACCAUCAGUACGAAUUUUUGGUUUGGAAACUCCAUGUUGUGACCGUGUUCUUGGCGAUGGCACAGGAACUGCAGCAGAAUCCCGUGGCGCAGAGGAUCCGGCGGAGUCCGAGGCAGCAGCACGCAGUCCAGCUGCGCCCGAAACAAGGCGGAUGCUGUCGGAGCCAUGCAGGGCGCCCGAUCCAAGGCGGAUACUGUCGGAGCCAUGCAGCGGCGCACCCCCGCGCGUUCCCUCGUCUGCAUCGGGCUGGGCCACUUGGCGAGGCCCAGUUGGUUGGGUGGCGGAGUCGAGGGACCGUCCGGUCGGAACGUCGAGGCAGAUGGCGAGGUGGAUGGCCCGCCACCAGUGUGGGGCCCACCACGAGACAUCGCUGUCUCGCCCGCUGGGCCGCGGGGGGACGUGUGGCCGCCUGGCGAUGGCCCGCCUGGCCACGAGGCAGAUACGCCACCACUGCCUGGCGCGGUAGGCGAGGACGGAUCGCCUUCGGGAUCGCUGCCGUGAGGAUCUGGCGCAUCACCUGAAUCCACCUCGUGUCCUAUGUUUGUCCCUUGCUACUGCAUAAAAUCAUGACGCAAAACAGGAUUUCCACCAAAAUUUAUAGCAGGAUUUGCAUGAAAAUUACCCGAAGUGUCAUUAGCUAGAUGUUCGUCCCCCUGAUCAGCAGAGGUAGGCAAAAGGAAAGAUUGUUUCGUCAAACACAACGUCACGUGAGAUGUAGACACGUCCAGCAGCGAUAUCUAGGCAUUUGAAACCCUUGUGAAGAUUGCUAUAACCAAGAAACACACAUUGCUUUGACCGGAAUUCUAACUUGUGAGAAUUGAAGGGACGGAGAUUAGGCUAGCAAGCACAACCAAAGGUGCGAAGAGCAUGGUAGUUUGGUUUCUCAUGAAAAAGUUUUUCCAAAGGUGUUUCAAGGUUUAUUGCUUUGCUAGGGGUACGGUUGAUCAAGUAUGUGGCAGCGAUGAAUGCUUCAUCCCAGAAUUUCAAGGGCAUGGACGCAUGUGCUAGGAGGGAGAGACCAACUUCGACGAUGUGGCGAUGUUUUCGCUUGGCAGAGCCGUUUUGCUGAUGAGCGUGGGGGCAAGAAACAUGGUGUGUGAUGCCAAUUUGGCGAAAGAAGGAAUUUAAUCGCUCAUACUCACCACCCCAGUCUGUUUGCAUGGUGAUGAUUUUACGAUCAAAGAGUCUCUCAACAAGUGCUUGAAAUUCAUGAAACACUUUAAAGACUUCAGAUCUAUGUUUAAGAAGAAAUAUCCAGGUGAACUUGCUGUAAUCAUUGAUAAAACUCACAUAAUAGUUUUUCUUAUUUAUAGAAUCACGGGCAGGCCCCCAUACAUCAGAAAAAAUGAGCUCUAAAGGAGCAUUCGAAGUGCUACUAGAAUGCAGAUAUGGGAGCUGGUGACUUUUGCCUUUUUGGCAUGCAUCACACACUCCUUCUUUAUUCAACUCUUGAUUGGAAAAAUGAAUUUUAUUCUGCCUAAGAACGUGCUGGAUGAUUUGCAAAGACAGAUGACCUAAUUUAGUGUGCCACCUUGAAGGAGAUAUCUUGGUGGUGCCAAAAGCUUGCCUGCCCGAGUGUAACGAAGCUGAUGAUAGGGGAUAGAGACCGGCUCUACACCUGCCUUGGAGGAGGGUGCUCCUCGUUGCCUUGUCCUUGAUGAACAAGAAGCGAGGGUGAGUUUCAAGGAACACAUGAUUAUCUUGAGACAAACGAUGGGCAGAAACAAGGUUUUUAGUGGCUUUAGGAGAAUAAAGGACAUCUUUUAGAUGAAGAUUGCGAGUGGGAGUACGAACAUAAGCUUGACCAACAUGAGUAAUUUUCAUACCUGGCCCGUUGGGCAUGUUCACUUGGUCAUGGCCAUUGUACCUCUCCCUCAUAGUGUGUUUGUCCAGCUCGCCGGUGAUGUGAUUGGUGGCGCCAGUGUCGACGUACCAGUUGGUGUCGACGCCAUAGGAUGAGUUAGCCACGGCACUUGCACUCUUCUCCUUGGUGAAUGCAAUGUCAAAGCGCCAGUAGCACUCAAUAGCCGUGUGGUUCGGCUUCUUGCAGAUCUGGCAGAAAACCUCCGGGUGAUCGUCGCGGCCGCCUCCUCCUGCAUGGCCACGGCCACCGUGACCAUUGCCGUUGCCACGGCCGCCGUUGCCUCCAUUGCCAUGGCCACCAGCAUAGCCACGGCCACCUCCGUUCAUGCCGCGGCCUCCACGAGUGAAGCCACCACAGCCGCCGCAAGAAGCGACGUUGGUGGAGGAGUGGGAUGAUGAUGAGUUUCCCUCGAACAUGGCAAGGCGGCUCUCGAAGCUGGUCAACUGGGAGUAGAGCUUGUUGGGCUUGAUGGGGACGGUCCUGGCGCAGACGGAGGAGACGAAGGACAUGUAGUCAAAGUCAAGCCCGGCGAGGAUGUACGACACCAUGUCGUCGUCGGUGAGCGGCUUGCCGAUGGAAGCCAUCUCAUCGCCAAGGGCCUUCAUGCGGCCAAGGUACUCGGUGAUGGUGGAUGAAGAGGGCGAUCCUCGUGUUAACGAUGGCCGCCUGCGUCUGGGAGAUGAAUAUAUUCCUGAUUGCAGUCCAUGCUGCUGACGUCCUAGUGCAGUUUGCAAUCUGAACCAUCACAGGGGGUGAGAUGGAAUUGAACAAAAAACUCAGAACCUGAGAAUCCCGUGCCCUAUCGAUCUCAUAGGCCGGGUUGGGCACGUCAGUAGGUUUGCCGUCCUUGUCAGCGAGCUUGAGCGACGGGAUCUCCCUCUCUAGAUUGAGGUAGGAGACUAGCUGAGCGGCGCGGAUGGUAGCUAGGCUUGCGCACGCCAAACAUUGAAGUUGGAGCGGUGGACACUAGUAGAAAAAGGGGCUUUCAUUCGGACCUGGCCAGCCCAUUAGUCCCGGUUCUUCCACGAACCGGGACCAAUGGAGGCAUUUGUCCCGGUUCGUGAGCCCAGGGGGCCGGCCGGGGCCUCGUGGGCAUUGGUCCCGGUUCGUCUGGGCCCAUUUGUCCCGACUCUUGGCAUGAACCGGGACCAAUGAGCCUCGCUCCUAGCCCACAACCAUUGGUCCCGCUUCAUGGCAGGAACCGGGACAGAAGGAUGGCCUUUAGUCCCGGUUCCAGCCACGAACCGGGACAAAUGAGUUGCCUAUAUAUACCCCAUCGCCGGCGAGCAGAGCACUCCACAGUGCUCCAAUUUUUGCUGGCCGGCGAGGAAGGGCAUUUGGGUGCUCUAGCUCACCUCUUAUGCAUGUGAGGUGUUCGACGAAAUGCCCGAGCCACACUAGUUAAGCUUUCUCCUCUCGAAGCUCGACCUCCGAGCUCCAUUUUUUCCGAGAUUUGUCUAGGUUUAGCGGUCCAUCACGCCCCGUCCUCGUCUUCACCGCCGUCAAUCGCCCGCACCGAUCUCGUCGCCGACACCACCGUGGUGAGCCUCUUGUUCUUAUCUUCUUUCUGAAAGAAAAAAAUCUUACUUUAGAUAGAUACUUGUCUAAUUUUCUUACUUUUGACAUACAUAAUUAUAUAUAAUGCACGCAGAUGAACCGGCAAUGGAUGUACGGUGACAGACACACCUCUGAGUACAUUAAGAGCGUGCAUAAUUUUCUCGAAGUGGCUGAGGCAAACAAGCAGAAUGGUUUUAUGUGUUGUCCAUGCCCUAAUUGUGGGAAUACGGGGUCUUACUCUGACAAGAAAAUCCUUCACACCCACCUGCUUUAUAAGGGUUUCAUGCCACACUAUAAUGUUUGGACGAAGCACGGAGAAAUAGGGGUUAUGAUGGCAGACAACGAAGAAGAAGAGGACGAUGACAACUAUGUGCCCCCUGAAUACGGUGAUGCUGCAACGGGGGAAGCUGAAGAUCCAGAGGAACCAGACGAUGUGCCCGAUGAAGAUCUCCGCCGGGUCAUUGUUGAUGCAAGGGAAAAGUGCGACAGUGAAAAGGAGAACUGAAGUUCGAUCGCAUGUUAGAGGAUCACAAAAAAGGGUUGUACCCCAAUUGCGAAGAUGGCAACACAAAGCUCGGUACCGUACUGGAAUUGCUGUAGUGGAAGGCAGAGAAUGCUGUGCCUGACAAAGGAUUUGAGAAGCUACUGAAAAUAUUGAAGAAGAAGCUUUCAAAGGAUAACGAAUUGCCCGAUAGUACGUAUGCAGCAAAGAAGGUCGUAUGCCCUCUAGGAUUGGAGGUGGAGAAGAUACAUGAUGCCCUAAUGACUGCAUCCUCUACCGCGGUGCGUACAAGGAUUUGAAUGCAUGCCCGGUAUGCGGUGCAUUGCGGUAUAAGAUCAGACGAGAUGACCCUGGUGAUGUUGAGGGCGAGCCCCGCAGGAAGAAGGUUCCUGCGAAGGUGAUGUGGUAUGCUCCUAUAAUACCAAGGUUGAAACGACUGUUCAGAAACAAAGAGCAUGCCAAGUUGAUGCGAUGGCACAGUGAGGACCGUAAGAAAGACGGGAAGUUGAGAGCACCCGCUGACGGGUCGCAGUGGAGAAAAAUCAAGAGAAAGUUCUGGGCUGAGUUUGCAAGUGACCCAAGGAACAUAUGGUUUGCUUUAAGCGCGGAUGGCAUUAAUCCUUUCGGGGAGCAGAGCAGCAAUCACAGCACCUGGCCCGUGACUCUAUGUAUGUAUAACCUUCCUCCUUGGAUGUGCAUGAAGCGGAAGUUCAUUAUGAUGCCAAUUCUCAUCCAAGGCCCUAAGCAACCCGGCAACGACAUUGAUGUGUACCUAAGGCCAUUAGUUGAAGAACUCUUACAGCUGUGGAAUGGAACAGGGGUACGUGCGUGGGAUGAGCACAUGGGGGAAGAAUUUGACCUAAAGGCGUUGCUGUUCGUGACCAUCAAUGAUUGGCCCGCUCUCAGUAACCUUUCAGGACAGACAAACAAGGGAUACCACGCAUGCACGCACUGUUUAGCUGACACCGAAAGUAUAUACCUGGACAGAUGCAGGAAGAAUGUGUACCUGGGCCAUCGUCGAUUUCUCCCGACCAACCAUCAAUGUCGAAAGAAAGGGAAGCAUUUCAAAGGCGAGGCAGAUCACCGGAAGAAGCCCGCCAUGCGUACCGGUGAUCACGUACUUUCUAUGGUCUCUAAUUUACACGUAAUAUUUGGAAAGAGUCCAGGCGGACUAGCUGUUCCGAAUGAAGAUGAGGGACGCACACCCAUGUGGAAGAAGAAAUCUAUAUUUUAGGACCUACCCUACUGGAAAGAGCUAGAGGUACGCUCUUCAAUCAACGUGAUGCACGUGACGAAGAACCUUUGCGUGAACCUGUUAGGCUUCUUGGGCGUGUAUGGGAAGACAAAAGAUACACCUGAGGCACGGGAGGACCUGCAACGUUUGCACGAAAAAGACGGCAUGCCUCCAAAGCAGUACGAAGGUCCUGCUAGCUACGCUCUUACCAAAGAAGAGAAGGAAAUCUUUUUUGAAUGCCUGCUCAGUAUGAAGGUCCCGACUGGCCUCUCGUCGAAUAUAAAGGGAAUAAUAAAUAUUCUAGAGAAAAAGUUUCAGAACCUAAAGUCUGAUGACUGCCACGUGAUUAUGACGCAAGUGCUUCCGGUUGCAUUGAGGGGGCUUCUACCGGAAAACGUCCGAUUAGCCAUUGUGAAGCUAUGUGCAUUCCUCAAUGCAAUCUCUCAGAAGGUGAUCGAUCCAGAAAUCAUACCAAGGCUAAGGAGUGAUGUGGCGCAAUGUCUUGUCAGUUUCGAGCUGGUGUUCCCACCAUCCUUCUUCAAUAUCAUGACGCACGUCCUAGUUCAUCUAGUCGACGAGAUUGUCAUUCUGGGCCCCGUAUUUCUACACAAUAUGUUCCCCUUUGAGAGGUUCAUGGGAGUCCUAAAGAAAUAUGUCCGUAACCGUUCUAGGCCAGAAGGAAGCAUCUCUAUGGGCCAUCAAACAGAGGAUGUCAUUGGGUUUUGUGUUGACUUCAUUCCUGGCCUUAAGAAGAUAGGUCUCCCUAAAUCGCGGUAUGAUGGGAGACUGACUGGAAAAGGCACGCUAGGAGUGGACUCAAUAAUAUGCAGAGACGGGCAUUCUUGGUCUCAAGCACACUACACAGUUCUACGGAACUCUACCUUGGUGACCCCGUAUGUCGAUGAACACAAGAACAGUCUGCGCUCCAAACACCCGGAGAAGUGUGACGACUGGAUUACAUGUGAACACAUCAGGACUUUCAGCAGUUGGUUGGAAACACGUCUCAGAGGUGACACCACUGUUUGUGAUGAGCUGUACUCGUUGUCCAGGGGACCAUCUUCGACUGUAUUGACUUACAAAGGAUACGAGAUAAAUGGGAAUACAUUUUACACGAUCGCCCAAGAUCAAAAGAGCACCAACCAAAACAGCGGUGUCCGCUUUGAUGCAGCAACCGAGAGGGGAAAGGACACAUAUUAUGGUUACAUAAUGGACAUAUGGGAACUUGACUACGGACAUGAUUUUAAGGUCCCUUUGUUUAAGUGCAAAUGGGUCAAUCUAUCAGGAGGCGGGGUACAGGUAGACCCACAGUACGGAAUGACAACAAUGGAUCUGAACAAUCUUGGGUACACUGACGAACCGUUCGUUCUAGCCAAUAAUGUGGCACAGGUUAUCUAUGUGAAGGACAUGUCUACCAAACCGAGAAAAAGAAAAUAUAAGGAAGCGAAUACAUCAUACGAUGAGCCAAAGCGCCACAUAGUUCUUUUAGGAAAAAGGGACAUUGUGGGUGUGGAGGGCAAGACAGACAUGUCUGAAGAUUAUGAAAAGUUUCAUGAAAUUCCUCUCUUCAAACUCAAGGCUGACCCAAGCAUCCUGAUAAAUGAUGAAGAUUAGCCAUGGUUACUGCACAAUAAGCAAAGCACACAAACGAAAAAAUGAAGACUUUCUCUGCACAACUAUUAUGAUGAUACCAUGCCAACUUUCAACCUUUUCGUAGUUCAUUUGAAAUGCCUGUUGUAACAGACGAGUUUCCGUAUGAAAUCCUGAUACUUCGAAACAGAUUGUCCGUUUUGUACACGAAGUGCAUCCAGUUUUUGCCGUAACCCUCUCUACUUUCUUGCACAUGCUAUGUGGGUGAAAUGAUGAUACCAUGCCAACUUUCAACCUUUUUAGAGUUCAUUUGUAGUGCUUUUCAAUUUCAUGGUCUUAUAGCUCAAAAUAAUCAGUAAAUGCAUGGAAAAUAACAAAUGAAGUCAGAAAUGGUUGAAAAUUGAUGAUGUGGCUUUGAAUGGUGCAUUUUGAACACAGAAAAACUAUGGAGUUCAAAUAAGUUCUAAAAAAUGAAAUCCCUUUGUAACAGACGAGUUUCCGUAUGAAACCUUGAUACUUCGAAAAAGAUUGUUCGUUUUGUACAUGAAGUCCAUCCAGUUUUUGCCGUAACCCUCUCUACUUUCUUGCACAUGCUAUGUGGGUGAAAUGAUGAUACCAUGCCAACUUUCAACCUUUUCAGAGUUCAUUUGUAGUGCUUUUCGAUUUCAGGGUCUUAUAGCUCAAAAUAAUCAGUAAAUGCAUGGAAAAUAACAAAUAUCAUAAAAAAUUAAGUAAUUAGAAACAGAAUAAAAUAAACUUUAAUAAAAUAUAUAAGUAGAAACAAAAUAAAAUAAACUUUAAUAACGUAAAUAAAAUUUAUGAAACUAAAAUUAUCAACGUAUUUUCUGUUCAAAACAUUAUAAGCAACCUCUAGUAUUACAGAAACUAAAAUUAUAUAAAAUAGAUACAACUAAAAUUAUCAAAGUUUUUUCUGUUCAAAAUCAUUAAAAGCAAAAAGAAUUUUCAUAAAGAACUUUUUUUGUUAGAAACUUUAAUAGCAAAAAGAAUUAUCAUAAAAUAAAAUAAAUAAGUAAUUAGAAACAAAAUAAAAUAAAAUAAAUAAGUAUUUUGUUGUAAGUAGAAACAAAAUAAAAUAAAUAAAGCAAAAAAUAAAUAAAUAAACUGGGAAAAAAUAAAAAUAAACGCCACCUACUGGGCCACCACGGCCUGAAUAUGACUAGAAACUCACCCAUGAGCCAGGAUUCAGGCCCGUAGAAGGCCCAAUAGGCCCACAGGCAGAUACAGUGUGUUUACGUUCGAAAGCCUACAUUUGAGAGGAGCUUGAGAGGGCAGCGGGAGUGGGGCUUAUAAACCACUCUCGAGCUCCCUCUGCUAGCGAGGUGGGAGUAAACUUUUGUGCCGCGAUGCGGGCAGCACAAGGCCUUUAGUCCCGGUUGGUGCCACCAACCGGUACUAAAGGCAUACAUUGGUACCGGUUCAUGCCAACAACUGGUACCAAUGCGCACCCUUUAGUCCCGGUUUGUGCCACCAACCGGGACCAAAGGCCUCUGCUUCCCGCCCUUUCGGCUGCUGAAAAGCGACCUUUGGUCCCGGUUGGUGGCUCCAACCGGGACUAAAGGGGUGCUUUGGUCCCGGUUGCUGCCACGAACCGGGACCAAAGGUCUGUCUAUAUAAGCCACACUUGUGAAAUUUUUGGUUCAGUUCUUCUUCCCACUGCCCCGACGCUGUCGCCGCGUGCUUCCCUGCCCCGAUGUCGUCGCCGCGUGCACCCCUGCCACGACGCCGUCGNNNNNNNNNNNNNNNNNNNNNNNNNNNNNNNNNNNNNNNNNNNNNNNNNNNNNNNNNNNNNNNNNNNNNNNNNNNNNNNNNNNNNNNNNNNNNNNNNNNNNNNNNNNNNNNNNNNNNNNNNNNNNNNNNNNNNNNNNNNNNNNNNNNNNNNNNNNNNNNNNNNNNNNNNNNNNNNNNNNNNNNNNNNNNNNNNNNNNNNNNNNNNNNNNNNNNNNNNNNNNNNNNNNNNNNNNNNNNNNNNNNNNNNNNNNNNNNNNNNNNNNNNNNNNNNNNNNNNNNNNNNNNNNNNNNNNNNNNNNNNNNNNNNNNNNNNNNNNNNNNNNNNNNNNNNNNNNNNNNNNNNNNNNNNNNNNNNNNNNNNNNNNNNNNNNNNNNNNNNNNNNNNNNNNNNNNNNNNNNNNNNNNNNNNNNNNNNNNNNNNNNNNNNNNNNNNNNNNNNNNNNNNNNNNNNNNNNNNNNNNNNNNNNNNNNNNNNNNNNNNNNNNNNNNNNNNNNNNNNNNNNNNNNNNNNNNNNNNNNNNNNNNNNNNNNNNNNNNNNNNNNNNNNNNNNNNNNNNNNNNNNNNNNNNNNNNNNNNNNNNNNNNNNNNNNNNNNNNNNNNNNNNNNNNNNNNNNNNNNNNNNNNNNNNNNNNNNNNNNNNNNNNNNNNNNNNNNNNNNNNNNNNNNNNNNNNNNNNNNNNNNNNNNNNNNNNNNNNNNNNNNNNNNNNNNNNNNNNNNNNNNNNNNNNNNNNNNNNNNNNNNNNNNNNNNNNNNNNNNNNNNNNNNNNNNNNNNNNNNNNNNNNNNNNNNNNNNNNNNNNNNNNNNNNNNNNNNNNNNNNNNNNNNNNNNNNNNNNNNNNNNNNNNNNNNNNNNNNNNNNNNNNNNNNNNNNNNNNNNNNNNNNNNNNNNNNNNNNNNNNNNNNNNNNNNNNNNNNNNNNNNNNNNNNNNNNNNNNNNNNNNNNNNNNNNNNNNNNNNNNNNNNNNNNNNNNNNNNNNNNNNNNNNNNNNNNNNNNNNNNNNNNNNNNNNNNNNNNNNNNNNNNNNNNNNNNNNNNNNNNNNNNNNNNNNNNNNNNNNNNNNNNNNNNNNNNNNNNNNNNNNNNNNNNNNNNNNNNNNNNNNNNNNNNNNNNNNNNNNNNNNNNNNNNNNNNNNNNNNNNNNNNNNNNNNNNNNNNNNNNNNNNNNNNNNNNNNNNNNNNNNNNNNNNNNNNNNNNNNNNNNNNNNNNNNNNNNNNNNNNNNNUAUAGAAGUAGUUUAUUUUUAGUAAGUACUACUUUAUUUUAUUUAUAGUAAGUGCUUAAUUAGUAGUUGAACUAGUUGAUUUAAUAAAACUACUUUAUUUUACUAUAGAAGUAGUUUAUUUUUAGCAAGAAAAUUAAUAGAACUAGUUUAUUUUUUUAGUUCAAGCAAUUAUUCACGCAUCGACGUCGACGAUGCCUAUCCCGCAUCCUCGUCGUCGACUCGGCGGAGGAGAUCGGCUUGAUCAGAGGGGCCAUGUCCGGGACUGGGCUCCGCCGGGCUGGUAUUGGGAGGUGCUACCUUCCGAGGGGCGUAGGUUGGUGAGGAGCCAGCCCGUCGUUGACCCGAUCCUUGUUUGGUGGCGGUCGCGUGGGCCAGUGACGGUGCCUAGGCUUCCGGACACCGCGGAGGUGGUACGUCACCGUGUCAGCGAGGAGGACCAGCACGUCUGUCGCUACAUGGUUGCGUUGGAGGGCAGGUUCGACAAUACCAGGCAGGUUCUUCAAGGAUCUCACUGGAGCUAUGAUCCUGUGAUGGUUCCUUCCCUUUGGGUGUCCACCGCCCGCGCCGAUACCCGUCGGGCGCUACGGUUCUAGCUGUACUAGCGAUGAUAUAUAUAUAUAUAUAUGUAUGAUAGUAUUCGAGGUGUAUUAGUGAUAAUAUUCGACGAUGUACGGACGAAAGAGAUGAUGUAGUUUUGCUUAUAAUUGAAUGCAUGCUAAUUUGAAUACUACUUUAUUUUACGAUUUGGUUUUGCUUAUUGAAUCCUCAAAUUGGAAAACUACUCCUACUUUGAAUGCUAAAAUUGGAGAGCACUAUGCAAGGCGUAUGCAUAUGAUUAGUUGAUAGCUUAUAGGGUUUUUAUUGUCGCAGAAAUCUAGGAGCCCCCCUCCAUCAUCCCCGCCGUCGUCCCCGUCACCGACCCCCUCCGGCCUCGAGGUGAGACCAGCCAAAUCCUUUUUUAGAAAGAUAAUUAAACGAUAUUUCGGGUUGACUUUAAGUUUGUCGAGUCUCCACCAUAUAUUAGAGGACGAAUAAUCCCGACUGUUGUCGUGGGGUAGCUUCUCCUUCGUUCCCGUGUGCUAGACAAUUUGGUGUAAUGCACUCGGGAACGAAAGGAGGAGCUACCAUCACCGACGGUCACAAAUGUCAGAGAGGAAUCAGUGAGGGAGAGUUCCACCAUAUAUAUAUAUGAGAGGACGAAGAAUCCCGACUGUUGUCGUGGGGGUCGCUUCUCCUUCGUUCCCGUGUGCUAGACAUUUUGGUGUAAUGCACUCGGGGACAAAUGAAGGAGCGACCAUCACCAACGGUCGAAUGUAUACACCACGUGAGCUGAGAGUUUUCAAGAAAAGACUUGACAAACCGAUAGUCAACCCGUGAUGAAUAAUAAUGAUCUAAUUUAGUUUUUGUAGUACAUAUAUUUGAUUGUACAAGUGUAAUCUUUGAAUUAUGAACGUAGGAAAUGUCGUCCGACGAUGAAAGUCUCCCGGGGGAGUGCGGCUGGUGCCACGACGAUCGAGGUUUGUGCGACAGGCCUCACCUGGACGAUGAUCGGCGCUUCAGCAUUAAGCUCGAGGAGACCUUCGAUGUUGAAACGGUACGCAACGGCGACAAGUGUUUUUUCGUAAUUAAGAAUGACUUCAACUAUUUCAAUGUGUAAUUUUCAUCUUUUACAAUUCGAGUAUAGCUUAUCCCAUGCCAUGCAAGACGCUAUGUCUUGGAGAGGAUGGAUUUUGAAGACCAUGAAAAUUUUGAAACGAAGAAAAUUCACCUAAGGACCCAUCAUGAUGUGGAUUUUGAAGUAAAUUUGUAUAAUGCUGAGAGCGUAACCCAUUUUGGUUGCAAAAAUUGGGAAGCAUUUUGCAAGAUGUAUGGUUUUGAUGAGGGUAUGCUUGUCACCAUGGAUCUUGGUAAUCCUGACAUCGACCAAGACAAUAUGGACAUUUGGGUCCUUGUUGAUACGCCUCCAGUUCUACCGCUAUGUGAGUUUCUCAAACAUAGUUAAUUAUUAACUAAUUUAUAUUAUUUAUUUCAAAAUAGUUGACAGCUUAUUUGCAUUGACAGCUUAUUUUCAUUGUUCAAACAAUGUGUGGAACAUGGUAGACAAAACCCACUACACCGAUGGCUCCGAGUUAACUUAUCAGGAGAAAAAUCAUCUGGUCGGAUUUUGUACUGAUCUUGAGAAUUACAAUAUCUACAAUCAAACUCCUCAACAUUAUGGUCAAUACGUGCCACUAGUACACGUGUUGAACUACAGUAACUACCAUGGAGAUACCCUGGUAAGAUUUUUUACUAUUACGACAUCCGUGCAUCUUCUGCAUACUUCUAAAGCUAGUACAUCAUUGCUAACUAUGAAGUUAUUACUAUGUUUUUCAACAGAGAAUCCCAGAGGACUGUGUGCCUCAUUUGAUGUAUCAGAAUGGCAGCCUUCCUGUUUUGAACAUAUAUCCAGGUCUGUUGGAAAUAUGCCCUAGAGGCAAUAAUAAAUUGGUUAUUAUUAUAUUUCCUUGUUCAUGAUAAUCGUUUAUUAUCCAUGCUAGAAUUGUAUUGAUAGGAAACUCAGAUACAUGUGUGGAUACAUAGACAACACCAUGUCCCUAGUAAGCCUCUAGUUGACUAGCUCGUUGAUCAAUAGAUGGUUAUGGUUUCCUGACCAUGGACAUUGGAUGUCGUUGAUAACGGGAUCACAUCAUUAGGAGAAUGAUGUGAUGGACAAGACCCAAUCCUAAGCCUAGCACAAGAUCGUGUAGUUCGUUUGCUAAGAGCUUUUCUAAUGUCAAGUAUCAUUUCCUUAGACCAUGAGAUUGUGCAACUCCCGGAUACCGUAGGAAUGCUUUGGGUGUACCAAAUGUCACAACGUAACUGGGUGGCUAUAAAGGUGCACUACAGGUAUCUCCGAAAGUGUCUGUUGGGUUGGCACGAAUCGAGACUGGGAUUUGUCACUCCCUGUAAACGGAGAGGUAUCUCUGGGCCCACUCAGUAGGACAUCAUCAUAAUGUGCACAAUGUGACCAAGGAGUUGAUCACGGGAUGAUGUGUUACGGAACGACUAAAGAGACUUGCCGGUAACGAGAUUGAACAAUGUAUCGGGAUACCGACGAUCGAAUCUCGGGCAAGUACCAUACCAAUAGACAAAGGGAAUUGUAUACGGGAUUGAUUGAAUCCUUGACAUGGUGGUUCAUCCGAUGAGAUCAUCGAGGAGCAUGUGGGAGCCAACAUGGGUAUCCAGAUCCCGCUGUUGGUUAUUGACCGGAGAGUCGUCUCGGUCAUGUCUGCAUGUCUCCCGAACCCGUAGGGUCUACACACUUAAGGUUCGGUGACGCUAGGGUUGUAGAGAUAUUAGUAUGCGGUAACCCGAAAGUUUUUCGGAGUCCCGGAUGAGAUCCCGGACGUCACGAGGAGUUCCGGAAUGGUCCGGAGGUAAAGAUUUAUAUAUGGGAAGUCUUGUUUUGGUCGCCGGAAAGGUUUCGCGCAUUAUCGGUAUUGUACCGGGAGUGCCGAAAGGGGUCCGGGGGUCCACCAGCCCCGGGGGGCCACAUGGGCUGUAGGGGUGUGCGCCUUGGCCUAUAUGGGCCAAGGGCACCAGCCCCAAGAGGCCCAUGCGCCAAGAGAUAAGGGAAAGGGAGAGUCCUAAAGGGGGAAGGCACCUCCGAGGUGCCUUGGGGAGGAUGGACUCCUCCCUGGCCGCACCCUUCCUUGGAGGAAGGGCCAAGGCUGCGCCCGCCCUCUCCCUUGGCCCUAUAUAUAGUGGGGGGAGGGAGGGCAGCAACACCUAAGCCCUGGCGCCUCCCUCUCCCUCCCGUGACACAUCUCCCUCCUCCCGCAGCGCUUGGCGAAGCCCUGUUGGAAUCCCGCUACUUCCACCACCACGCCGUCGUGCUGCUGGAUCUCCAUCAACCUCUCCCCCCCCCCUUGCUGGAUCAAGAAGGAGGAGACGUCGCUGCUCCGUACGUGUGUUGAACGCGGAGGUGUCGUCCGUUUGGCGCUAGGAUCAUCGGUGAUUUGGAUCACGACGAGUACGACUCCAUCAACCCCGUUCUCUUGAACGCUUCCGCUCGUGAUCUACAAGCGUAUGUAGAUGCACUCCCCUUUUCCCUCGUUGCUAGAUUACUCCAUAGAUUGAUCUUGGUGAUGCGUAGAAAAUUUUAAAUUUCUGCUACGUUCCCCAACAGUGGUAUCAGAGCUAGGUCUAUGCGUAGUUUCUAUGCACGAGUAGAACACAAAGUAGUUGUGGGUGUCGAUUUUGUCAAUUUACUUGCCGUUAUUAGUCCUAUCUUGAUUCGGCGGCAUCGUGGGAUGAAGCGGCCCGGACCGACCUUACAUGUACACUUACGUGAGACAGGUUCUACCGACUGACAUGCACUAGUUGCAUAAGGUGGCUAGCGGGUGUCUAUCUCUCCCACUUUAGUCGGAUCGGAUUCGAUGAAAAGGGUCCUUAUGAAGGGUAAAUAAAAAUUGGCAUAUCACGUUGUGGCUUUUGCGUAGGUAAGAAACGUUCUUGCUCGAAUCCCAUAGCAGCCACGUAAAACAUGCAACAACAAUUAGAGGACAUCUAACUUGUUUUUGCAGGGUAUGCUAUGUGAUGUGAUAUGGCCAAAAGGAUGUGAUGUAUGAUAUAUGUGAUGUAUGAGAUUGAUCAUGUUCUUGUAAUAGGAAUCACGACUUGCAUGUCGAUGAGUAUGACAACCGGCAGGAGCCAUAGGAGUUGUCUUAAUUUAUUGUAUGACAUGCGUGUCAAUGAAAACGCCAUGUAAUUACUUUACUUUAUUGCUAACCGUUAGCCAUAGUAGUAGAAGUAAUAGUUGGCGAGACAACUUCACGAAGACACAAUGAUGGAGAUCAUGGUGUCAUGCCGGUGACGAAGGUGAUCAUGCCGCGCCUCGAAGAUGGAGAUCAAAGGCGCAGGAUGAUAUUGGCCAUAUCACGUCACUUUAUGAUUUGCAUGUGAUGUUUGUCAUGUUUACAUCUUAUUGGCUUAGAACGACGGUAGCAUAAAUAAGAUGAUCCCUCACUAAAAUUUCAAGAGACGUGUUCCCCCUAACUGUGCACCGUUGCGUAGGUUCGUUGUUUCGAAGCACCACAUGAUGAUCGGGUGUGAUAGAUUCUAACGUUCGAAUACAACGGGUGUUCACGAGCCUAGCAUGUACAGACAUGGCCUCGGAACACAUGCGAAACACUUAGGUUGACUUGACGAGCCUAGCAUGUACAGACAUGGCCUCGGAACACAAGAGAUCGAAAGGUCGAACAUGAGUCGUAUAGUAGAUGCGAUCAACAUGGAGAUGUUCACCGAUGAUGACUAGUCCGUCUCACGUGAUGAUCGGACACGGCCUAGUUUGACUCGGAUCAUGUAUCACUUAGAUGACUAGAGGGAUGUCUAUCUGAGUGGGAGUUCAUUAAAUAAUCAAGAUGAACUUCAUUAUCAUUAACAUAGUCAAAAGGUCUUUGCAAAUUAUGUCAUAGCUUGCGUUUUAGCUCUACUGUUUAAAGAUAUGUUCCUAGAGAAAAUUUAGUUGAAAGUUGGUAGUAGCAAUUAUGCGGAAUGGGUCCGUAAACUGAGGAUUGUCCUUAUUGCUGCACAGAAGGCUUAUGUCCUUAAUGCACCGCUCGGUGUGCUGAACCUCAGCGUCGUCUGUAGAUGUUGCGAGACAUCGGACAUACACGUUUUGAUGACUACGUGAUAGUUCAGUGCGUAAUGCUAACGGUUUAGAAUUGUGGCACCAAAGACGUUUUGAAACGUCGCAGAACAUAUGAGAUGUUCCGAAGACUGAAAUUGGGAUUUCAGACUAGUGCCCACGUCAAGAGGUAUGAGACCUCUGACAAGUUUCUUAAGCCUGCAGACUAAGGGAGAAAAGCUCAAUCGUUGAGCAUGUGCUUAGAUUGUCUGAGUACUACAAUCGCUUGAAUCGAGUGGGAGUUAAUCUUCCAGAUGAGAUAGUGAUGGUUCUCCAUAGUCACUGACACCAAGCUAUUAGAGCUUCGUGAUGAACUAUAACAUAUCAGGGAUAGACAUGAUGAUCCUUGAGCAACUCGCGAUGUUUGACACCGCGAAAGUAGAAAUCAAAUAGGAGCAUCAAUUGUUGAUGGUUAGUAAAACCACUAGUUUCUAGAAGGGCAAGGGCAAAAGGGAUACUUCAUGAAACAGCAAAUCAUUUGCUGCUCUAGUGAAGAAUCCCAAGGUUGAACCCAAACCCGAGACUAAGUGCUUCUGUAAUGAGGGGAACGGUCACUGAAGCAGAACUACCCUAGAUACUUGGUAGAUGAGAAGGCAGGCAAGGUCGACAGAAGUAUAUUGGAUAUACAUUAUAUGAAUGUGUACUUUACUAGUACUCCUAGCAGCACCAGGGUAUUAGAUACCAGUUCGGUUGCUAAGUGUUAGUAACUUGAAAUAAAAGUUGCGGAAUAAAUGGAGACUAGCUAAAGGUGAGAUGACGAUGUGUGUUGGAAGUGUUUCCAAGGUUGAUGUGAUCAAGCAUCGCAUGCUCCCUCUACCAUCGAGAUUGGUGUUUGUGUUGAGCAUAAACAUGAUUGGAUUAUGUUUAUCGCAAUACGGUUAUUCAUUUAAGGAGAAUAAUGGUUACUCUGUUUAUUUGAAUAAUACCUUCAAUGGUCUUGCACCUAAAAUGAAUCUCGAUCGCAGUGAUACACAUGUUCGUGCCAAAAGAUAUAAAAUAGUAAUGAUGGUACCACAUACUUGUGGCACUGCCAUUUGAGUCAUAUUGGUAUAGAACGCAUGAAGAAGCUCCAUGUAGAUGGAUCUUUGGACUUACUCGUUUUUGAAAAGAUUGAGACAUGCGAACCAUGUCUAUUGGUAUAUAUGCAUGAAGAAACUCCAUGCAGAUGGAUCGUUUGGACUCACUUGAUUUUGAAUCACUUGAGACAUGCAAAUCAUACCACAUGGGCAAGAUGACUGAAAGGCCUCGUUUUCAGUAAGAUGGAACAAGAAAGCAACUUGUUGGAAGUAAUACAUUUUGAUGUGUGCAGUCCAAUGAGUGCUGAGGCAUGCAGUGGAUGUCGUUAUGUUCUUGCUUCACAGAUGAUUUGAGUAGAUGCUGAGUAUGUUUGCUUAAUGAAACACAAGUCUGAAUUAUUGAAAGGUUCAAGUGAUUUCAGAGUGAAGUUGAAGAUCGUCGUGACAAGAGGAUAAAAUGUCUAUGAUAUGAUCAUAGAGAUGAAUAUCUGAGUUACAAGUUUGGCACACAAUUAAGACAUUGUGGAAAGUGUUUCACAAUUAAUACCGCCUGGAACACCAUAGUGUGAUGGUGUGUCCGAACAUCAUAACUGCACCCUAUUAGAUAUGGUGCAUACCAUGAUGUCUCUUAUCGAAUUACCACUAUCGUUUAUGGGUUAGGCAUUAGAGACAACCGCAUUCACUUUAAAAGGGGGCACCACGCAAUUCCGUUGAGACGACACCGUUUAGAGAAACCUAAGUUGUCGUUUCUUAAAAGUUUGGGGCUGCGACGCUUAUGUGAAAAAGUUUCAGGCUGAUAAGCUCGAACCCAAAGCGGAUAAAUGCAUCUUCAUAGAAUACCCAAAACAGUUGGGUAUACCUCCUAUUUCAGAUCUGGAAGCAAAAGUAAUUGCUUCUAGAAACGAGUCCUUUCUCGAGGAAAAGUUUCUUUCGAAAGAAUUGAGUGGGAGGAUGGUGGAGACUUGAUAAGGUUAUUGAACCGUCACUUCAACUAGUGUGUAGCAGGGCACAGGAAGUUGUUCCUGUGGCACCUACACCAAUUGAAGUGGAAGCUUAUGAUAGUGAUCAUGAAACUUCGGAUCAAGUCACUACCAAACCUCGUAGGUCGACAAGGAUAUGUACUUCUCCUGUGUGGUACGGUAAUCCUGUCUUAGAUAUCAUGUUGUUAGACAAUACUGAACCUACGAGCUAUGGAGAAGCGAUGGUGGGCCCAUAUUCCGACAAAUGGUUAGAAGCCAUGAAAUCCGAGAUAGGCUCCAUGUAUUAGAACAAAGCAUGGACUUUGGUGAACUUGCCCGAUGAUCGGCAAGCCAUUGAGAUAAAUGGAUCUUUAAGAAGAAGACGGACAUGGACGGUAAUGUUACCGUCUAUGAAGCUCGACUUGUGGCAAAGAGUAUUUUCACAAGUUCAAGGAGUUGACUAUUAUAAGAUUUUCUCAUCCGUAGCGAUUCUUAAGUCCGUCGGAAUCAUGUUAGCAUUAGCUGCAUUUAUGAAAUCUGGCAGAUGGAUGUCAAAACAAGUUUCCUUACCAGUUUUCGUAAGGAAAGGUUGUAUGUGAUACAAUCAGAAAGGUUUUGUCGAUCCUAAGGAUGCUAAAAGGUAUGCUAGCUCCAGCGAUCCUUCCAUGGAUUAGAGCAAGCAUCUCGGAGUCAGAAUAUACGCUUUGAUGGAGUGAUCAAAGUUUUUGGGUUUAUACAAAGUUUGUUAGAAACUUGUAUUUACAAUAAAGUGAGUGGGAGCGCUACAACAUUUCUGAUAAGUAUAUGUGAAUGACAUAUUGUUGAUCCGAAAUGAUGUAAAAUUUCUGGAAAGCAUAAAGGGUUGUUUGAAAGGAGUUUUUCAAAGGAAGACCUGGAUAAAGCUGCUUACAUAUUGGGCAUCAAGAUCUAUAGAGAUAGAUCACGACGCCUGAUGAUACUUUCAAAGAACGCACACCUUGACAUGAUUUUGAAAGAGUUCAAAAUAGAUCAGCAAAGAAGGAGUUCUUGGCUGUGUUACAAGGUGUGAGUAUUGAGUAAGACUCAAGACCUGACCACAGCAGAAGAGAGAGAAAGGACGAAGGUCGUCCCCUAUGCUUUAGACGUAGGCUCUACAGUAUGCUAUGCUGUGUACCGCACAUGAAGUGUGCCUUGCCAUGAGUUGGUCAAGGGGUACAAUAGUGAUCCGGGAAUGGAUCACAUGACAGCGGUCGAACUUAUCCUUAGUAUCUAGUGGACUAAGGAAUUUUCUCGAUUAUGGAGGUGAAAAGGAGUUCGUCGUAAAGGGUUAUGUCGAUGUGAACUUUGACACUAAUCCGGAUAACUCUGAGUAGUAAACCGGAUUCGUAUAGUAGAGCAGUUAUUUGAAAUGGCUCCAAGUAGCGCGUGGUAGCAUCUACAAGAUGACAUAGAUAUUCCUAAAGCACACACGGAUCUAAAAGGUUCAGACCCGUUGACUAAUAACCUCUCUCACAAGCAUAACAUGAUCAAACCAGAACUCAUUGAGUGUUAAUCACAUAGUGAUGUGAACUAGAUUGUUGACUCUAGUAAACUCUUUAGAUGUUGGUCACAUGGUGAUGUGACGUGUGAGUGUUAAUCACAUGGUGAUAUGAACUAGAUUAUUGACUCUAGUGCAAGUGGGAGACUGUUGGAAAUAUGCCCUAGAGGCAAUAUUAAAUUGGUUAUUAUUAUAUUUCCUUGUUCAUGAUAAUCGUUUAUUAUCCAUGCUAGAAUUGUAUUGAUAGGAAACUCAGAUACAUGUGUGGAUACAUAGACAACACCAUGUCCCUAGUAAGCCUCUAGUUGACUAGCUCGUUGAUCAAUAGAUGGUUACGGUUUCCUGACCAUGGACAUUGGAUGUCAUUGAUAACGGGAUCACAUCAUUAGGAGAAUGAUGUGAUGGACAAGACCCAAUCCUAAGCCUAGCACAAGAUCGUGUAGUUCGUUUGCUAAGAGCUUUUCUAAUGUCAAGUAUCAUUUCCUUAGACCAUGAGAUUGUGCAACUCCCGGAUACCGUAGGAAUGCUUUGGGUGUACCAAACGUCACAAUGUAACUGGGUGGCUAUAAAGGUGCACUACAGGUAUCUCCGAAAGUGUCUGUUGGGUUGGCACGAAUCGAGACUGGGAUUUGUCACUCCGUGUAAACGGAGAGGUAUCUCUGGGCCCACUCGGUAGGACAUCAUCAUAAUGUGCACAAUGUGACCAAGGAGUUGAUCACGGGAUGAUGUGUUACGGAACGAGUAAAGAGACUUGCCGGUAACGAGAUUGAACAAGGUAUCGGGAUACCGACGAUCGAAUCUCGGGCAAGUACCAUACCAAUAGACAAAGGGAAUUGUAUACGGGAUUGAUUGAAUCCUCGACAUGGUGGUUCAUCCGAUGAGAUCAUCGAGGAGCAUGUGGGAGCCAACAUGGGUAUCCAGAUCCCGCUGUUGGUUAUUGACCGGAGAGUCGUCUCGGUCAUGUCUGCAUGUCUCCCGAACCCGUAGGGUCUACACACUUAAGGUUCGGUGACGCUAGGGUUGUAGAGAUAUUAGUAUGCGGUAACCUGAAAGUUGUUCGGAGUCCCGGAUGAGAUCCCGGACGUCACGAGGAGUUCCGGAAUGGUCCGGAGGUAAAGAUUUAUAUAUGGGAAGUCUUGUUUUGGUCGCCGGAAAGGUUUCGCGCAUUAUCGGUAUUGUACCGGGAGUGCCGAAAGGGGUCCGGGGGUCCACCAGCCCCGGGGGGGCACAUGGGCUGUAGGGGUGUGCGCCUUGGCCUAUAUGGGCCAAGGGCACCAGCCCCAAGAGGCCCAUGCGCCAAGAGAUAAGGGAAAGGGAGAGUCCUAAAGGGGGAAGGCACCUCCGAGGUGUUGGGAAUCGUAGCAUAAUUUAAAAUUUUCCUACGCUCACUAAGAUGCAUCUAUGGAGUCUACUAGCAACGAGGGGAAAGGAGUGGAUCUACAUACCCUUGUAGAUCGCGAGCGGAAGCGUUCCAAUGAACGUGGAUGACGGAGUCGUACUCGCGGUGAUCCAAAUCACCGAUGACCGAGUGCCGAACGGACGGCACCUCCGCGUUCAACACACGUACGGUGCAGCGACGUCUCCUCCUUUCUUGAUCCAGCAAGGGGGGAGGAGAGGUUGAUGGAGAUCCAACAGCACGACGGCGUGGUGGUGGAUGUAGCGGCUCUCCGGCAGGCCUUCGCCGAGCUUCUGCGCGCGAGAGAGAGGUGUUGCAGGGGAGGAGGGAGGCGCCAAAGGCUGUAGUGUGCUGCCCUCCCUCCCCCCCUUUAUAUAGGCCCCCAAGGGGGGUGCGCAGCCCUUGGAGAUGGGAUCUCCAAGGGGGGGGCGGCGGCCAACGGGGAAGGGGUUGCCUUGCCCCCCAAGGCAAGGGGAAACUCCCCCCCCCCUAGGGUUCCCAACCCUAGGCGCAUGGGGGGGGAGGCCCAAAGUGGCGCCCCAGCCCAUUAGGGGCUGGUUCCCCUCCACUUUCAGCCCACGGGGCCCUCCGGGACAGGUGGCCCCACCCGGUGGACCCCCGGGACCCUUCCGGUGGUCCCGGUACAAUACCGAUAACCCCCGAAACUUUCCCGGUGGCCAAAACUGGACUUCCUAUAUAUAAUUCUUCACCUCCGGACCAUUCCGGAACCUCUCGUGACGUCUGGGAUCUCAUCCGGGACUCCGAACAACUUUCGGGUUUCCGCAUACAUAUAUCUCUACAACCCUAGCGUCACCGGACCUUAAGUGUGUAGACCCUACGGGUUCGGGAGACAUGCAGACAUGACCGAGACGCCUCUCCGGUCAAUAACCAACAGCGGGAUCUGGAUACCCAUGUUGGCUCCCACAUGUUCCACGAUGAUAUCAUCGGGUGAACCACGCUGUCGAGGAUUCAAUCAAUCCGUAUGCAAUUCCCUUUGUCAAUCGGUAUGUUACUUGCCCGAGAUUCGAUCGUCGGUAUCCCAAUACCUUGUUCAAUCUCGUUACCGGCAAGUCUCUUUACUCGUACCGCAAUGCAUGAUCCCGUGACUAACGCCUUAGUCACAUUGAGCUCAUUAUGAUGAUGCAUUACCGAGUGGGCCCAGAGAUACCUCUCCGUUUACACGGAGUGACAAAUCCCAGUCUCGAUCCGUGCCAACCCAACAGACACUUUCGGAGAUACCCGUAAUGCACCUUUAUAGUCACCCAGUUACGUUGUGACGUUUGGCACACCCAAAGCACUCCUACGGUAUCCGGGAGUUGCACGAUCUCAUGGUCUAAGGAAAAGAUACUUGACAUUGGAAAAGCUCUAGCAAACGAAACUACACGAUCUUUUAUGCUAUGCUUAAGUUGGGUCUUGUCCAUCACAUCAUUCUCCUAAUGAUGUGAUCCCGUCAUCAAUGACAUCCUAUGUCCAUAGUCAGGAAACCAUGACUAUCUGUUGAUCAACGAGCUAGUCAACUAGAGGCUUACUAGGGACAGGUUGUGGUCUAUGUAUUCACACAUGUAUUAUGAUUUCCGGACAAUACAAUUAUAGCAUGAAUAAAAGACUAUUAUCAUGAACACAGAAAUAUAAUAAUAACCAUUUAUUAUUGCCUCUAGGGCAUAUUUCCAACAGUCUCCCACUUGCACUAGAGUCAAUAAUCUAGUUACAUUGUGAUGAAUCGAACACCCAUUGCGUCCUGGUGUUGAUCAUGUUUUGCCCUAGGGAGAGGUUUAGUCAACGGAUCUGCUACAUUCAGGUCCGUGUGUACUUUACAAAUAUCUAUGUCUCCAUUUUGAACACUUUCACGAAUGGAGUUGAAGCGACGCUUGAUAUGCCUGGUCUUCCUGUGAAACCUGGGCUCCUUCGCAAGGGCAAUAGCUCCAGUGUUGUCACAGAAGAGAGUCAUUGGGCCCGACGCAUUGGGAAUCACCCCUAGGUCGGUAAUGAACUCCUUCAUCCAGACUGCUUCCUGUGCUGCCUCCGAGGCUGCCAUGUAUUCCGCUUCACAUGUAGAUCCCACCACGACGCUUUGCUUGCAACUGCACCAGCUUACUGCUCCUCUAUUCAAAAUAUACACGUAUCCGGUCUGUGACUUCGAGUCAUCCGGAUCUGUGUCGAAGCUAGCGUCAACGUAACCCUUUACGACGAGCUCUUCGUCACCUCCAUAGACGAGAAACAUAUCCUUAGUCCUCUUCAGGUACUUCAGGAUAUUCUUGACCGCUGUCCAGUGUUCCUUGCCGGGAUUACUUUGGUACCUUCCUACCAAACUUACGGCGAGGUUUACAUCAGGUCUGGUACACAGCAUGGCAUACAUAAUAGACCCUAUGGCCGAGGCAUAGGGGAUGACACUCAUCUCUUCUAUAUCUUCUGCCGUGGUCGGGCAUUGAGCCGUGCUCAAUUGCACACCUUGCAAUACAGGCAAGAACCCCUUCUUGGACUGAUCCAUACUGAACUUCUUCAAUAUCUUGUCAAGGUAUGUACUCUGUGAAAGACCAAUGAGGCGUCUUGAUCUAUCUCUAUAGAUCUUGAUGCCUAAUAUAUAAGCAGCUUCUCCAAGGUCCUUCAUUGAAAAACAUUUAUUCAAAUAGGCCUUUAUACUUUCCAAGAAUUCUAUAUCAUUUCCCAUCAAUAGUAUGUCAUCCACAUAUAAUAUGAGAAAUGCUACAGAGCUCCCACUCACUUUCUUGUAAACACAGGCUUCUCCAUAAGUCUGUGUAAACCCAAACGCCUUGAUCAUCUCAUCAAAGCGAAUGUUCCAACUCCGAGAUGCUUGCACCAGCCCAUAGAUUGAGCGUUGGAGCUUGCAUACUUUGUUAGCAUUCUUAGGGUCGACAAAACCUUCCGGCUGCAUCAUAUACAACUCUUCCUUAAGGAAGCCGUUAAGGAAUGCCGUUUUGACGUCCAUCUGCCAUAUCUCAUAAUCAUAGUAUGCGGCAAUUGCUAACAUGAUUCGGACGGACUUCAGCUUCGCUACGGGUGAGAAAGUCUCAUCGUAGUCAACCCCUUGAACUUGUCGAUAACCCUUAGCGACAAGUCGAGCUUUGUAGAUGGUCACAUUACCAUCUGCGUCCGUCUUCUUCUUAAAGAUCCAUUUGUUUUCUAUGGCUCGCCGCUCAUCGGGCAAGUCAGUCAAAGUCCAUACUUUGUUUUCAUACAUGGAUUCUAUCUCGGAUUUCAUGGCUUCUAGCCAUUUGUCGGAAUCCGGGCCCGCCAUCGCUUCUUCAUAGUUCGAAGGUUCACCGUUGUCUAACAACAUGAUUUCCAGGACAGGGUUGCCGUACCACUCUGGUGCGGAACGUGUCCUUGUGGACCUACGAAGUUCAGUGGCAACUUGAUCCGAAGCUUCAUGAUCAUCAUCAUUAACUUAAUCCCCCGUCGGUGUAGGCACCACAGGAACAUUUUCCCGCGCUGCGCUAUUUUCUGACUCGGAAGGGGUGACUAUCACCUCAUCAAGUUCCACUUUCCUCCCACUCAAUUCUUUCGAGAGAAACUCCUUCUCUAGAAAGGACCCGUUCUUGGCAACGAAGAUCUUGCCUUCGGAUCUGAGGUAGAAGGUGUACCCAAUAGUUUCCUUAGGGUAUCCUAUGAAGACGCAUUUUUCCGAUUUGAGUUCGAGCUUUUCAGGUUGAAGUUUCUUGACAUAAGCAUCGCAUCCCCAAACUUUUAGAAACGACAGCUUAGGUUUCUUCCCAAACCAUAAUUCAUACGGUGUCGUCUCAACGGAUUUAGACGGUGCCCUAUUUAAAGUGAAUGCGGCAGUCUCUAAAGCAUAACCCCAAAAUGAGAGCGGUAAAUUGGUAAGAGACAUCAUAGAUCGCACCAUAUCCAAUAGAGUGCGAUUACGACGUUCGGACACACCAUUUCUCUGAGGUGUUCCAGGCGGCGUGAGUUGUGAAACUAUUCCACAUUUCCUUAAGUGUGUACCAAAUUCGUGACUUAAAUAUUCUCCACCACGAUCUGAUCGUAAGAAUUUUAUUUUCCUGUCACGUUGAUUCUCAACCUCACUCUGAAAUUCCUUGAACUUUUCAAAGGUUUCAGACUUGUGUUUCAUUAGGUAGACAUACCCAUAUCUACUUAAAUCAUCAGUGAGAGUGAGAACAUAACGAUAUCCUCCGCGAGCCUCAACACUCAUUGGACCGCACACAUCGGUAUGUAUGAUUUCCAAUAAGUUGGUUGCUCGCUCCAUUGUUCCGAAGAACGGAGUCUUGGUCAUCUUACCCAUGAGGCAUGGUUCGCACGUGUCAAAUGAUUCGUAAUCAAGAGACUCCAAAAUUCCAUCUGCAUGGAGCUUCUUCAUGCGCUUGACACCAAUGUGACCAAGGCGGCAGUGCCACAAGUAUGUGGGACUAUCGUUAUCAACUUUACAUCUUUUGGUAUUCACACUAUGAACAUGUGUAGCAUCACGUUCGAGAUUCAUCAAGAAUAAACCAUUGACCAGCGGGGCAUGACCAUAAAACAUAUCUCUCAAAUAAAUAGAACAACCAUUAUUCUCAGAUUUAAAUGAGUAGCCAUCUCGAAUUAAACGAGAUCCAGAUACAAUGUUCAUGCUCAAAGCUGGCACUAAAUAACAAUUAUUGAGGUUUAUAACUAAUCCCGUGGGUAGAUGCAGAGGUAGCGUGCCGACGGCGAUCACAUCGACCUUGGAACCAUUCCCGACGCGCAUCGUCACCUCGUCUUUUGCCAGUCUCCGUUUAUUCCGUAGUUCCUGAUUUGAGUUACAAAUAUGAGCAACCGCACCGGUAUCAAAUACCCAGGAGCUACUACGAGUACUGGUAAGGUACACAUCAAUUACUUGUAUAUCACAUAUACCUUGGGUGUUGCCGGCCUUCUUCUUGUCCGCUAAAUAUUUGGGGCCGUUCCGCUUCCAGUGACCACUUCCCUUGCAAUAAAAGCACUCAGUCUCGGGCUUGGGUCCAUUCUUUGACUUCUUCCCGGUAACUGGCUUACCGGGCGCGGCAAUUCCCUUGCCGUCCUUCUUGAAGUUCUUCUUACCCUUGCCCUUCUUGAACUUAGUGGUUUUAUUCACCAUCAACACUUGAUGUUCCUUUUUGAUCUCCCCUUCCGCUGAUUUUAGCAUUGAAUAUACCUCGGGAAUGGUCUUUUCCAUCCCCUGCAUAUUGUAGUUCAUCACAAAGCUCUUGUAGCUUGGUGGAAGCGACUGGAGGAUUCUGUCAAUGACCGCGUCAUCCGGGAGAUUAACUCCCAGCUGAGACAAGCGGUUGUGCAACCCAGACAUUCUGAGUAUGUGCUCACUAACAGAACUGUUCUCCUCCAUUUUACAGCUGAAGAACUUGUCGGAGACAUCAUAUCUCUCGACCCGGGCAUGAGCUUGAAAAACCAGUUUCAGCUCCUCGAACAUCUCGUAUGCUCCAUGUUUCUCAAAACGCUUUUGGAGACCCGGUUCCAAGCUGUAAAGCAUGCCGCACUGAACGAGGGAGUAAUCAUCAGCACGCUGCUGCCAAGCGUUCAUAACGUCUUGGUUCUCAGGGAUUGGUGCUUCACCUAGCGGUGCUUCUAAGACAUAAUCUUUCUUGGCAACUAUGAGGAUGAGCCUCAGGUUCCGGACCCAGUCCGUAUAGUUGCUGCCAUCAUCUUUCAGCUUGGUUUUCUCUAGGAACGCGUUGAAAUUGAGGACAACGUGGGCCAUUUGAUCUACAAUACAUAGUGUAAAGAAUUUUUAGACUAAGUUCAUGAUAAUUAAGUUCAUAUAAUCAAAUUAUUUAAUGAACUCCCACUCAGAUAGACAUCCCUCUAGUUAUCUAAGUGAAACAUGAUCCGAACUCAACUAGGCCGUGUCCGAUCAUCACGUGAGACGGACUAGUCAAGAUCGGUGAACAUCUCCAUGUUGAUCGUAUCUUCUAUACGACUCAUGCUCGACCUUUCGGUCCUCCGUGUUCCGAGGCCAUGUCUGUACAUGCUAGGCUCGUCAAGUCAACCUAAGUGUAUUGCGUGUGUUCCGAGGCCAUGUCUGUACAUGCUAGGCUCGUCAACACCCGUUGUAUGCGAACGUAAGAAUCUAUCACACCCGAUCAUCACGUGGUGCUUCGAAACGACGAACCUUCGCAACGGUGCACAGUUAGGGUGAACACUUUCUUGAAAUUAUUAUAAGGGAUCAUCCUACUUGCUACCGUCGUACUAAGCAAAUAAGAUGCAAAAACAUGAUAAACAUCACAUGCAAUCAAAUAGUGACAUGAUAUGGCCAAUAUCAUCAUGCUCCUUUGAUCUCCAUCUUCGGGGCACCAUGAUCAUCUUCGUCACCGGCAUGACACCAUGAUCUCCAUCAUCAUGAUCUCCAUCAUUGUGUCUUCAUGAAGUUGUCACGCCAAUGAUUACUUCUACUUCUAUGGCUAACCGUUUAGCAACAAAGUAAAGUAAAUUACAUGGCGUUAUUCAAUGACACGCAGGUCAUGCAAAAUAAUAAAGACAACUCCUAUGGCUCCUGCCGGUUGUCAUACUCAUCGACAUGCAAGUCGUGAUUCCUAUUACAAGAAUAUGAUCAAUCUCAUACAUCACAUAUAUCAUUCAUCACAUCUUCUGGCCAUAUCAUAUCACAUAUAUCACUUGCUGCAAAAACAAGUUACACGUCCUCUAAUUGUUGUUGCAAGUUUUUACGUGGUUUGUAGGUUUCUAGCAAGAACGAUUUCUUACCUACGUAUGACCACAACGUGAUUCGCCAAUUUCUAUUUACCCUUCAUAAGGACCCUUUUCAUCGAAUCCGUUCCGACUAAAGUAGGAGAGACAGACACCCGCUAGCCACCUUAUGCAACUAGUGCAUGUCAGUCGGUGGAACCUGUCUCACGUAAGCGUACGUGUAAGGUCGGUCCGGGCCGCUUCAUCCUACAAUGCCGCCGAAACAAGAAACGACUAGUAGCGGCAAGAAGAAUUGGCAACAUCAACGCCCACAACUUCUUUGUGUUCUACUCGUGCAUAGUAACUACGCAUAGGCCUGGCUCAUGAUGCCACUGUUGGGAAUCGUAGCAUAAUUUAAAAUUUUCCUACGCUCACCAAGAUGCAUCUAUGGAGUCUACUAGCAACGAGGGGAAAGGAGUGGAUCUACAUACCCUUGUAGAUCGCGAGCGGAAGCGUUCCAAUGAACGUGGAUGACGGAGUCGUACUCGCCGUGAUCCAAAUCACCGAUGACCGAGUGCCGAACGGACGGCACCUCUGCGUUCAACACACGUACGGUGCAGCGACGUCUCCUCCUUUCUUGAUCCAGCAAGGGGGGAGGAGAGGUUGAUGGAGAUCCAACAGCACGACGGCGUGGUGGUGGAUGUAGCGGCUCUCCGGCAAGGCUUCGCCGAGCUUCUGCGCGCGAGAGAGAGGUGUUGCAGGGGAGGAGGGAGGCGCCAAAGGCUGUCGUGUCCUGCCCUCCCUCCCCCCCUUUAUAUAGGCCCCCAAGGGGGGGUGCGCAGCCCUUGGAGAUGGGAUCUCCAAGGGGGGGGGGCGGCGGCCAAGGGGGAAGGGGUUGCCUUGCCCCCCAAGGCAAGGGGAAACUCCCCCCCUAGGGUUCCCAACCCUAGGCGCAUGGGGGGGAGGCCCAAAGUGGCGCCCCAGCCCAUUAGGGGCUGGUUCCCCUCCACUUUCAGCCCACGGGGCCCUCCGGGACAGGUGGCCCCACCCGGUGGACCCCCGGGACCCUUCCGGUGGUCCCGGUACAAUACCGAUAACCCCCGAAACUUUCCCGGUGGCCAAAACUGGACUUCCUAUAUAUAAUUCUUCACCUCCGGACCAUUCCGGAACCUCUCGUGACGUCCGGGAUCUCAUCCGGGACUCCGAACAACUUUCGGGUUUCCGCAUACAUAUAUCUCUACAACCCUAGCGUCACCGGACCUUAAGUGUGUAGACCCUACGGGUUCGGGAGACAUGCAGACAUGACCGAGACGCCUCUCCUGUCAAUAACCAACAGCGGGAUCUGGAUACCCAUGUUGGCUCCCACAUGUUCCACGAUGAUAUCAUCGGGUGAACCACGGUGUCGAGGAUUCAAUCAAUCCGUAUGCAAUUCCCUUUGUCAAUCGGUAUGUUACUUGCCCGAGAUUCGAUCGUCGGUAUCCCAAUACCUAGUUCAAUCUCGUUACCGGCAAGUCUCUUUACUCGUACCGCAAUGCAUGAUCCCGUGACUAACGCCUUAGUCACAUUGAGCUCAUUAUGAUGAUGCAUUACCGAGUGGGCCCAGAGAUACCUCUCCGUUUACACGGAGUGACGAAUCCCAGUCUCGAUCCGUGCCAACCCAACAGACACUUUCGGAGAUACCCGUAAUGCACCUUUAUAGUCACCCAGUUACGUUGUGACGUUUGGCACACCCAAAGCACUCCUACGGUAUCCGGGAGUUGCACGAUCUCAUGGUCUAAGGAAAAGAUACUUGACAUUGGAAAAGCUCUAGCAAACGAAACUACACGAUCUUUUAUGCUAUGCUUAAGUUGGGUCUUGUCCAUCACAUCAUUCUCCUAAUGAUGUGAUCCCGUUAUCAAUGACAUCCUAUGUCCAUAGUCAGGAAACCAUGACUAUCUGUUGAUCAACGAGCUAGUCAACUAGAGGCUUACUAGGGACAGGUUGUGGUCUAUGUAUUCACACAUGUAUUACGAUUUCCGGACAAUACAAUUAUAGCAUGAAUAAAAGACUAUUAUCAUGAACACAGAAAUAUAAUAAUAACCAUUUAUUAUUGCCUCUAGGGCAUAUUUCCAACACGAGGUGCCUUGGGGAGGAUGGACUCCUCCCUGGCCGCACCCUUCCUUGGAGGAAGGGCCAAGGCUGCGCCCCCCCCCUCCCUUGGCCCUAUAUAUAGUGGGGGGGAGGGAGGGCAGCAACACCUAAGCCCUGGCGCCUCCCUCUCCCUCCCGUGACACAUCUCCCUCCUCCCGCAGCGCUUGGCGAAGCCCUGUUGGAAUCCCGCUACUUCCACCACCACGCCGUCGUGCUGCUGGAUCUCCAUCAACCUCUCCUCCCCCCUUGCUGGAUCAAGAAGGAGGAGACGUCGCUGCUCCGUACGUGUGUUGAACGCGGAGGUGCCGUCCGUUCGGCGCUAGGAUCAUCGGUGAUUUGGAUCACGACGAGUACGACUCCAUCAACCCCGUUCUCUUGAACGCUUCCGCUCGCGAUCUACAAGGGUAUGUAGAUGCACUCCUUUUUUCCCUCAUUGCUAGAUUACUCCAUAGAUUGAUCUUGGUGAUGCGUAGAAAAUUUUGAAUUUCUGCUACGUUCCCCAACAAGGUCAUCCUACGAAUCUCAACUGUCCAUACCGGAUUCCUAAAACAAGUGGAGACAUGCUAAUCAGAGAAUGGAAAAAAUGUAUGGACACUCGUAAGGAGGUUCUUGGAAGCAAAAGGAAGCGCCGCGCAAGAAUUGUAGACAGAAUGAUCUCCAUUCUCCAUAAUGGAGAGUCAGGGUCUAUAUUGUUUUAUGCUAUUUUACCUUAAAUAUGGUAUUUUGGUCCUGCAUAAUACUGAUGAUCAUGUGCUAAGAACAAUUAAGUAGGGUUGGUUCGAUGACUAUCAGGAUGAUGAUCGUAUGACUUGUUAUUAAUAACGAGUAGAAGUUGUAUGAUGAUGAUUAGUAGGACUUGUUAUUAUGAUGAUGCAUGAUGCGAGCAUAAAGAGUUAUUAUAUAUCUGUAGGUGAAAUGAACAUGGAUUGGAUUGAAGUGAAUGCAACAUGCAUGUGGUGCAUGUCGAAAGUAGUACAAUCCAAACUUGAUCAAUUUAGGACUAGUAUUACUUUCGACAUGCACCACAUGUUGCCUCACUUCAAUCUAAGUCAUGUUUAGGCAUAGCAGUAGCAGUACGUAGCACGGAGAUAAGAGAGGACACAUCUCUCUAUUAGCUACCUAUAACAACCUAAAUUAACCCCCAAAACCCCUAAACCACCUCCUUUCAAAAAAAAAACCAGCCCCUGAAAUGCUGACGCGUGGAAGCUUGUUGGUCCCGGUUGGUGCUACCAACCGGGACCAAAGGCAAUCCUGCCUGGGCUUGCCGGAGCGGCCACGUGGAGGCCCAUCUGUCCCGGUUGGUAUAAGAACCGGGACUAAAGGCCUAGGGCAUUAGUAACGACCCUUUAGUCCCGGUUCCCCAACCGGGACAGAUGGGCCUUAUGAACCGGGACAAAUGACCCUUUUUCUACUAGUGGGAGUUUUUGGGCUAUGGGGAUGAGGACGGAUGCGGCGGUGGCGGUGGUGCUUGAGGAAGCCAUGGCGGCGCAGAAAGGAUGUGCUAGAGGAGAUAGGCUCUGAAUACUAUGUAAAAUAGCGUGAAGUGUAUGCCUUAGCAGGGACACGUUGCAUGUUUAUAUAGACAUAGAGAUUACAGGGUUAGUUGUCAGGUAGUUGCUAGAUUGAUCUCCAAGUAAUGAUCUAUACAAGGGAUAUACGAGAUCAUCUACAACAACCCUAACAACCAGAUUACAGACGCAACGCAGCCCUUAUCUACUCGCAUGUACGAUUUAUACAUAUACCGUACAUACUUUACAAUAUACACUCUAACAAAAUAGAGCAAUGCAUCGCGAGGGUGGAAACUGAAGCAAUGCAGUAAAGCUAGCCAUGCAUGGCUCUGGACAGACGAAGACACAGGCAAGACGAGGAGAGCCGAAAUCCAAUCCAUGUUUCCGGUAGGCCGAAUAUUUUAAGCGAGCCACAACCGGACGCACGAACAACUCACAUGACACACAGACAAUAAGAGAGAAUUCCUUAUUUAACACUGUUUUAAAUUUCCUUUUUCUAUUUAACAUCCAUAACCUUUUUCUUUCUUAUCCCACUCCAAGUCUAAAUAUUGUGCCCUUCAUGGCACUCUUGUCCGUUGCUCUGUCUAACACAGUUAAAUUGCAUGUGAAAAGACAUUUUUGCCCCUCAUCUAAUAUGAACCGGCCAUCUGGACAAACCCAGAGAAAGAUCUGACACUCGACCACGUUGGGACUAUUCUGCGGUCCAUGAAGCACGUUUGUUGCGAGGGAGCCUCUCCGUUCUGCGGCGAUCUUGGGCAGCUGCUGCGGAAGCGGCCGGGAUGGGUGGUGCACCGAGCGCCUGUUUCGGCGAAGACCUUCGAGGAGCUUCCUACUGUGUUUUAUUUGUUCAGAGGUGAUUUCUGCAAAAGCGCUGGCCCUGCUGUGUUUCUGGUGUGUUCUGGUCUCAUAUGUGUCAGGUAAUAGAGCAUCUCUAACAGUCCGCUCCAGGGGUGCUAUAUUUCAUCUGUUUUUUUCCUUUACGCCUACUAUGUGAACUACGAUUCGAUACAUAUUUGGUUCCGAUAGUACAAAUAUGGAGAUACUUCGUCAUCACAUAGCCUGCUUCUACGAUAUAAAAUAGUGCGUAGAUAGUUCAUAGUCUUCUCCUACGAUAGAUAGUUCAUAGUUCGUCACAUAGCCUGCUUCUACGAUAUAAAAUAAAACGAAAAAUUACUACUGCUCGUCAUUCUUCGACUCGGACUCUGCCUCGGUGAUGUCCUCCUCGGAUGUCUGAGCGUAGGCGUCAAGGAACCGCUCGUCGCUGGAGUCCCAGGAGGACGCAUCUCCUAGCGCGAUGUUGUAUUUAGCGACCGCCUUCCGCGUUCGCUUGUCCUCACGAUAGGCGGCUCGCUCCUCCCUCCUCUUCAUCCUCUCCGCCCUCCUCUCAGCGAAGAACUGUUUCUCGUUGAUGAUGUCUUGCGGGAAGCGGUGACUCCACAGCGCCAUGGCUUCCUCGUCCAUCUCGGACAGGCUGAGACGACGCUCCCGCCUCCGGUUCUUGCGACGAUCCUCGUCGGUGAUAAGCCACGGGAAAGGCGCCAACUCCUGUGCCCGCUCCCGCGUCGCCACGUCGGGGAAGUUCAUGUCCUGACGGGACCGCCGGAGGCGCCACGCCGCAACAUCGUACGCGCGGGCGCCAUCCUGGGCGGUGUCGAAGGUUCCGAGGCGGAGGCGCAUGCCGCCACCGACCGAAUCUCGGCGGAGUAGGUGCCGGACGGACGCACGCGGACGCCGCAGUAGCCUGAAGCUCCCCGGCGGCGAGGCGGCAUGGUGGCGCGGUGGUGUCGUGUCGGCGGCGAGGAGAGAAAGCGGUAGAGGGAGCGAUGAGAGAGAGGCAGAGGGCGCUGCAAUUUUAUAGGCGCGCCGGACGCGGUGCGCCAAAUCUAGCGCGAGAGUUGCCCCCUUUUCCGGCGCGCGAGUUUUCCGCCACCACUGGAGCGCGCGAAAACGUCCCGUGCACGCUAAAAGAGCCAGUUUACCGCGCGUGCAUGUCUUUUGGCACGGCUGUUGGAGAUGCUCUAACACUGUUUUUCUUCAAUGAAUAUAUGACGUCUGUGCUUAUUUGCUGCUGGUUGAUGUGUGCCACAAUUUGCCACUGCUUGGCACAGUGUGUUUGUAUGUGAGAGAUGUUGCAUACUUGCAUGUCGUGUGGGUUUGGCUUAUUGUUCUUUUUUCCACUGUCAGAUUUAAAUGUUGUGUAUGUGCUCCCGCAAAAAAAAAAUGUUGUGUAUGUGCGCGCGUGUGUAAUGGGCACUGCUAUGGUGCGAGUCAUCCCAAACUAGGCACCAUGCACCAAUGUCUCAAAAAAAAAGGCACCAUGCACCAUCAUCUUGAGCAAAGUAAGUGUGUCACGGGAAGCGCACUUUUGGCUCCGGGCGGCGCGCGCCCCUUGUAUCCUGCCCGUCUGCAUGUGCUUCGAGAUGUGCAGAUAAAGUAGUGUUUUUAUUAGUUAAAAGAGCUGUUAAUCUUUACAUAAAUCAGUAUACAGAGAAAUACGGUCAGUUAAGGCAGCACUACGUCAGACAAAAUAAAUGCGCAGUUAAUCAAAAGCUGCACACUGUUUCCGUCUUCAAGGCACCAUUUAACAUGCCAUUUGAUGCCGCUUAAUCAGUCAACAAGCAAGCUUGCUCGUCGCUUGUCUUACGGGGUUAAUGCCUCGACUAAGGCCCUGUUUGGUUCAUACACUGUUUCCUUCUUUAUUUAGUCUCAAAUGUCUAGUUUAGUCCCUAAAAAGUCCCUUCCGUUUGGUAAAAAAGUCUAGGGACUUUUUCUUGUCCCUACACAAAAAAGUCCCUGGAAACAAACACCCCUAAAUGACCCCAUUCCACUGCAUGCGGCUCAAUCCACUGCAUAUGCCGCCUAAUGCCAUAAUUAGUGAAAAUAUUCCUGCUCAAGAAUGUUUCGGACAUACUACUAUUAGCCGUCUGAUCCUUAAUUAGAGAAAAGCGAAGUGGUUAAUUAUUGGAAGUAUUUCGGCUCAAACAAGUCUUGGUUCAAAAAACAAUAUGAAAUCAUUUUGGAUAUUUAUGUCGUCUGGUCCUUAAUUAGAGCAAAAACAAGAUGAUUGUUUAGUGUUUGCAUACUAUCCGUGUUGUGAAGGACUCACCAUGCAGGAGUUAAUCUGACUAUUAAUCAAGACAGGUUAAUUGAGGCACUAACUAUAUGCGUGGUGGUUGGCUAAAUUCUCACAAUGCAGUUAAUUUGCUCCUGGUCAUGGUGCAGGAGAUUGCAGAGAGUGCAGGAUUCUUUUAAUGAUGACGUGAGGAGGACCCACUUUAAAUGCAAAUACAAGUGAUAUACGAGGAGGCUGUGAGGAUGUGGAUUUUUAGAACACCUGCACCCCGGCCCUAGUAUCCUGUCCAAUAUUACUUUAAGAUCUGUGCAACACAACUAACUUUCCAUAUGAAAUUUUCUCUUUUUUUGUUUCUCUCACAUAAAAGAUAUCUUGAAGUUCAAACCUUUGCAGCGUGGCAAAGCUUUCCAUCUAGAAUCUAGGAUAAAUCUUUCAGAAUUUUUUGUCAAACAUAAAUAUACAAAAAAUUCUGAAAGAUUUAUCCUAGAUUCUAGAUAGAAAGCUUUGCCACGCUGCAAAGGUUUGAACUUCAAAACAUGUUUUAUGUAAGAGAAACAAAAAAGAGAAAUCGAUUUGCAUGAAUCGCGAUGCGAAGAAUGGAUGGCUAGAUAGAGAGGGCCUAGGUGCAGGUGUUCUAUUAUAUAUUUUCCGAGGCUGUGAAAUUCUUGGUGAUACUAGUUAUGGACGGUUGUUGAUGACCACUCAAUAGUGAGAUUGAGGGGGUGGCGUGAGCAGGUUCUCCUUCGUAUUUUCCGUGUGUCACGUGUGUACACUAUGGAGUUGCGCACAUGUACAUAAUCAUUGGAGGCUGAGCUCUCAGCUUGCAUGGAGGGCAUCAACCUCGCUCUGCAAUGGACGGAGAUGCCGAUAGAAGUAGAGACGGACUGCCUUGUCGCUCUUAACAUGAUUAAUGGCCCGGACAGGGACCGGUCUCGCUAUACCAUGUUGGUUGAUCAUAUUCAAAGGCUUUUGAGGGAAGGGAGGAUGUUCAAGCUAUCUCAUGUUCGUAGGAAACAGAAUGGUGCAAGCCAUUAUCUGGCCUCCUUUGAACAGACAGAAGGUCGCACUGUGGUGUGGUUGGGUUUGAGACCAGGAGACAUCCUUGAUAUUUGUAAGAAUGACUUAUGUCCUGAUUGAUGAAAUAAAAUCUUCCUUUCACCCGCAAAAAAGAAUGUCCCUUGCCAUCUGGCCUCCUUUGAACAGACAGAAGGUCGCACUGUGGUGUGGUUGGGUUUGAGACUAGGAGACAUCCCUGAUAUUUGUAAGAAUGACUUAUGUCCUGAUUGAUGAAAUAAAAUCUUCCUUUCACCCGCAAAAAAGAAUGUCCCUUGCCAAAAAAAGAAGAUGGUGUUGCACGCUAGUUAACAACGUAGCCGCCGACCCGGCUGCAAGGUCGGGCGGGCUGGACAUGACUUAUACUUUUUUAAAUUAGCAUCUAUUAAAAUUUUGGUCACAUACCACGUGAUGGGCAAAAAGAUCUUUUCAUAUGUCAUUUAACACCAUUAAGACUUAAAAUAUACGAAAAUGUCAUAAAGGGCAUAAAAUUUAGACUCGGUGUUAUAUAAGAAAGAAAAACAAUCGGUGUCAAAUAGGAAAACAAAAUUUAAGAAAACAUUAAAUAAGGAAUUAUCUCAUUUCUUAAUCUCUCAGUAGGUGCUGACUCUGGAACCGUAGUACUUUCUCUGUUUUAUUCACUUUGCAUAUAAGUUUUUCCUUCUUUUAGUUUGGGCCCUAGCAUUUUUUUUCUUUUGAUUUCUUCCAAUAUUGCCACGUCCACGCAACAAAUGCAUUAAGUACUCUGCAUGUUACAUACAUACUUUCCAUGCUAGCGGCUGGCUGGGGAUUUUAGAGGGUCACAAUUAUACCUGGCCAUGGGCUAGGCCGGGCCGGGCUUGGGCCGGGCCUAAAAAAGCCCACGACAGAAAACUGAGGCCCUCCCAGGCCCUACCAUCGGGCCUACUUUUCAAGCCCAAGCCCGGACCAUCUGGUAAAAAGCCCUUAGGGCUUAGGGCCGUGGGCCGGGCCCCUUCCUUAAAAUGCCAAUAUGCCAAGCCCAAGCCCGUCCAGGCCCUGCUGGUGGGCUCAAAAAUCAGGCCCAAGCCCGGCCCACAGGAAAGCCCAUCGGGCCUAGGCCCUGGAUUUUAGGGUUGGGCCUGGGUGGGCCAACAGGGCCGGGCCGGAGAUGGCCAGGACUAGUCACAAUCCGACAACGAACAGCUCCCACCACGCACAAAGCAAUCUCUUACUCAUUGUCUUGUAGGCUACUGACUCGAGCCCCUCGUUUUUAUUUAGUUUGUGUGCAAGUUUUUUUUCCUUUUUAGUUUGCGUCAAAGCCUUUUUCCCGAUCUCUUUCGAUAUCGUCCCUUGAAUUUCAUCUUUGCACACUACCGAUGCAUUAAAUACCCCUUCCAUUGCAUACUCAACUUCCCCUCUCCUUCCUNNNNNNNNNNNNNNNNNNNNNNNNNNNNNNNNNNNNNNNNNNNNNNNNNNNNNNNNNNNNNNNNNNNNNNNNNNNNNNNNNNNNNNNNNNNNNNNNNNNNNNNNNNNNNNNNNNNNNNNNNNNNNNNNNNNNNNNNNNNNNNNNNNNNNNNNNNNNNNNNNNNNNNNNNNNNNNNNNNNNNNNNNNNNNNNNNNNNNNNNNNNNNNNNNNNNNNNNNNNNNNNNNNNNNNNNNNNNNNNNNNNNNNNNNNNNNNNNNNNNNNNNNNNNNNNNNNNNNNNNNNNNNNNNNNNNNNNNNNNNNNNNNNNNNNNNNNNNNNNNNGCCCCUGCCAGCUUCCUAUCCAUGUGUGGCCGCCGCACAUGGCCCACUGCAUCAUGCUCCAGGUACAUAUAUUUCCCUUUGGUUGUUUUCGGAUUUGUGCUUCGUUCUUUGUAUGUAUAGAUGGGCCCGUCGAUGUAAUUAUGGUGAUGAUGCUAGGUGGUGACGCUGGUGCGUGCGGUCAAACUGACGGCCUGCAUCGUCAAGGGGGAAAGGUGUCAGGGAUGGGAGCCGCGAGGCGCUUGGGACGGAGGAUACCGCUGAAGGACCCUCCCUCGCCAAUCCCUAAUGAAAACUCGGGGGUGGUGAUUCCCUUGCCGCCGCCGCCACCGCUGCCGAUCAAUUGAUAAGUGUUUGGAGUCUGGGUACGAGCAUAUGCCAUGGUGACUUCCGUGCACCUCUGGUCUCUUCCUAAUGUGUUAGAAGAAUAAUCUUGCUGCUGUGAAAUAAGUUGUCAUGCUUCAAAGUCUUAAAAUGUAUUGUUCACUUCUCUAUAUCAAUUUGGACUUCUGAGGUAAAUGGCGGAAAAAUAAAUUUAAUAUAGUCAGAGGCAAGUUGUCUCUAAGAUCAGGUCGACUAGAUAGUAAUAAGUUAAUUAUAGCAUACAUAUAUAAUUUUCCUGUGUGGAACAUUUUUUUUUGGUAAUGAUGAACAUUAAACUAGCGGGCACGUGAUGAUAGCUGACAAUCUGUAAUCAUUGUCCAAGAACCAUCGUACACAGAAAAAUAUUUUCAAACUUUACGCUAUCUUAUAUUAUUUGUAUCGGCUCUAGAAAAAAAAUCAAGGAGAUUGAGAAAACCAUUAAAACAUUAAUCAAAUAAUAGUAAUUUGACGAAUAUGCAAUCCAUUUUACAUCAUGUGUAUAUCUUACCAACGUUUUUGCGUUUAAUAAAAAUGAAAAAAAAAGCUCAAUCUGUGAAGAAGUAAUGGAUCUCAAAGUUGAAGAUAAAAAGAUUGUAGUAAUUAGCAUAUAUUUUUUUCUUCCCUUUUAUUGUGGCGCUUUUAAGAUGCGCUCCCUCCGUAUCAAAAAUAAGCGUCGCUGAUUUAGUACUAGUACAAAUAGAGGGAUUAAUUAAUUGAGGAAGUAAUCAUUUAAUUCCUUAAUUAUGUAAUGUGCAAAGUCCGUAUAUUGAGCUUACAAAGGAAUUAAUUGAUUCUUAUUACCUCCCAAGAGGUUAGACACAUACGAGCCAUUGGAUAGGGCAAAAUUAAUGGCUCAUAUUAACUUGGACCAUCUUUAAAAAAAUCAUUUCAUAAAUGAAAAGAUGCCGCUGCAUGCCUCGCUUACUCACGGGUGCAUCACGAGGGAGCCAGCACAGGAAGAAACGGCUGCGAAUGCUUCGAGGCAAUAUCCAGCGCCCCUGGUCGAGGAUUCAAGUGAAAACACCACACCCGUACGUCGAGCAGCCCACAAUCUCACACCCGCAGGCAGAGAUAGUCACAGUCUCUCAGGGAGCAAACAGUGUCUCAGUGGAGUGCUUCCUAGCUUACUCGAGCUGUGAACCCGUGAUCUCGCCAACUGAAGCCGUCCCUGACUGUGAUCCGCCCACACGGCUUGAUGGGCCGAAGGAUGGCCACCUGGUUGCUCGUCGCCGCCGCCGUCAUCCUGCCCCUGCUGGCGGCCGCCACGCAUCGCCUGCCGCGGCAUGCUCCAGGUACGCACGAUCGAGUGCCAAGAGAUUUCAGUUACGUGUGAAUGGGUGAUUGAUUUGAUUUCGGUAUUGAUGGUGCUAGGUGAUGGCUUCGGCGCGUGGGGUCGACCGGAGGGGCUGCGCCGUGGAGGGACGGUGCUGGGUGUGGGAGCUGCCAGGCGCCUGGGCCAGAGGACGCCGGUGAAGGCGCCUCCCUCGCCGGACCCCAAUCCCGGCAAGGGCACGUCGACGCGUCGGCUGCCCACGCGCCUCCCCUCUCCUCCCUCCAUCAAAGAAUAGUCUUGGACGGUUUCUCAACAGCAUGCAGAAUAAUGAAAACGGCAAUAGAUAACCAUUGCCAAAAUAAACUAUCUUCCCUUUGUUUUGUCAAGCACAUUUCUAAGUCAUCUCAUAACAGUGCAGAGUUUUUCCAAAAGAUCUGGAUCUAAAGCGACAAUCUCCUCUUCCUCCUUAAUUCCGACAGUCAGCACCCAUUUCAUGACACGAGUGUCACAAAAAACUACUCGUGUGAUCUGAUCCAUCCUCUCCCUCUCCCUCUCCCNNNNNNNNNNNNNNNNNNNNNNNNNNNNNNNNNNNNNNNNNNNNNNNNNNNNNNNNNNNNNNNNNNNNNNNNNNNNNNNNNNNNNNNNNNNNNNNNNNNNNNNNNNNNNNNNNNNNNNNNNNNNNNNNNNNNNNNNNNNNNNNNNNNNNNNNNNNNNNNNNNNNNNNNNNNNNNNNNNNNNNNNNNNNNNNNNNNNNNNNNNNNNNNNNNNNNNNNNNNNNNNNNNNNNNNNNNNNNNNNNNNNNNNNNNNNNNNNNNNNNNNNNGUGUUGCGCGAUUUUCUCCAUGCCCGCCCUCUCUCCCGCCUUUUCUGACUUAUGAACCCUCCGACCCCCAAUCCGAUGACUCUUAAACGACUAUGCAUCGGGCGGUUCGUUUUCUCUCGAUACAACCAUCUCUAUCACGCAAUAGGUCCCGACACGCAUUGGGGAAUAAAAUUCUCGUUUGUAAUGACCUCGUGCAUUUUGUAUUAAUUAAUUAGCAACAAACCAAUGUCACAGAACAACAAAUCAAAAGAACGACAACAUUGGCGAUGAAGGAACACAUUGCAAAUCGAUUGUUGUUAGGUUACAAAUCCUCAUUACGCUAUAUUCUCGAUUUUCUUCAGUUUUGUAUUUAGGGUUACAAACACAAAUUAAAGAGUAGUUGGCUUGAUUGUAUUCGUAAUCCAAGAAUCUAACGUAAUUAACAUGUCCCCGUUUGAGAUAGCCAGACAUACCUUUUUUGAGGAAUGCUUCAAAGAGGGGUAGAGUGUACGUAGGGCUUAUUUUAGAAAAAAGAAUCAACUCACUAUAUAGAGAAAACUGCACAUAUUGUACAAACCCAAAGGGCCAUAAAUGCAUCGUUAUUAAAAGAGAAGGUGUAGAACCCCAACAACAUGGAAACACCUAACAAAACUAGGCAACGCGGUCCAACAAAAACCAUGUAGGUGUCCUAGCAUCUCACUAGCUAAUACUCCCUCCGGUCCUCUUUACUUUGCGUCUAAGCUUUUUCCGUUUUUCUCGUAUUAGUCUGUGCGGUGGGAAGCUUUGUCAUUCUUUCCUGUUUUGCCUCUAAUUAUUUGCUUUGCAUGCAACUGUUCGCAUACGUUUGGGAGCCAGAGGCGCACUAUGUGGCCAAUCAGUUUGCAUGCGGGACUGUGCACGGGAGGUUAUGGGUGCAUGCGGCCUGGUAAGCAUGCGUGGACCAUGCGUGGGAGUAAAAUAGGGCUGCAUGUAGUUUGCAUCAGUAAAUAACUACUCCCCCCCUCCUAAAUAUUUGUCUUUUUAGAUAUUUCAACAAGUGACUACAUACGGAGCAAAAUGAGUGAAUCUACCUCUAAAAUAUGUCUACAUACAUCCGUAUGUGAUAGUCCAUUUGAAAUGUUUACAAAAACAAAUAUUUAGGAACGGAGGGAGUAGAUAGGAGGCGCGGCUUGCCGCGCAUUGCCCGCCGAACGGCGGGGCAAGGGACAGGAAAUUGAGAUGUUAAUGGAGAUGACCUUAGCGCCUGUAAACAUACACCAUAACGUUAAUUGUUUAGAGCUAAUAAAGUUUUAAUGUAAAAUGCAUGUAGUUACAUAUAGGAAUUACUCUAUCUGGUAUACAUAGAGAGAUAAUAUGAUCACAAUACAUCGAUUGUGUGACAACAAGUCUGGUGGAGCUACAAAAGUGUGGGAACCUCAGUUCAUGAAGGUUCGAUGUAAAGUAGCAUAGCAGAGGGGUUCCAUGUAGACAUACACAGUAAUUAAUUUAUUUCACGUUCAUAGGGAGUUGAUAUGAUCACAAUACAUACACGGGGCAAGAACAGGUCAUGUGGUGUUAUAAAAGUGGUGGAGCUGAUAUGAUCACAAUACAUACACCGGGCAAGAACAAGUUAUGUGGCGGUACAAAUGUGUCUGAUCCUAAAUCCAUUAAAGUUCGAGGCAGUGCUUUCCUCCAUUCCGUUGUAACGAUGGUGGGAAGCUGGAAAAACAACCGACCGUAUUAACAGCGGUAUGUAAAACUAAAUAAGAUGGUUGAUCAAGCAAAUCAUGCCUACCUGCAAGGCCGUGUGUUUAUUUUUUAUUUGCCAACAAAAGCAAUGUCAAAAUCACAGCUAGAACUAAAUCAAACAAGAAAGAACGGGUCAAAAUAAAGGCCUACCCACAGAUCGACCAUCGCCAACAACAGAUCCGACGCAGCAACGGCAAGAACAAGCGACCUGCAGGCAAUGAGAUCUGAAAUAAAUUAGACACGAACAAUCCAAUUGAAAGAGAGCACACCCGGCGCCAAAGGUUGAAGUGCAGGUCUUCUUUACAAGGCUGAACUGAACAUUUAGAUUUUUUGCUCAAUCAAAUGUACUUUUUAAAAAUCAUUUUGCAUAUGGUUGACUGAGAAACAGUAUACGUUCUUCUCCUCUACUGCAGUUCAGAACAUUAAGAAUGAUGAAACAGAGAGAGAUGAGGAGAGACACACAUACCUGGUAACAGCAGCCUCCUUCGGUGCCUUAUCCAAGGCAACGCGGCCCUCUUCUGCGGCCGCUCGUGACGGGGUCGGUAAUGGAGGAGACGGCCCCGUCCGACAGAGGCAUGGAUCCGCCUCCAAGGAGGCGCAGCCCUCCUUGUGCCUCCUCCAGGACGGCGCGGCUCUGCUUCUGCAUCACAUGACUAUACAUGUGUUCUGCAGGUAUAUGAGGGGCGCAACACACGUAGAUUCAACGCAUUGUCCGUGAAAUUUCUUUUUUGUGGCUGAUAUGCUUUGGCUGUGCUGGGGCAGGUCAAUGGAGACAGAGACGUCCAGGUCGUCGCUGCCUAUGUUGGUGAAGGUGAACUGAUGGGUUGUGCCACCAGUUAUUUCUAUGGCUCGCUCAAGUAUGAACUAUUUGCUAAUGGUGACACAGAUGGGAGAUAGCUCUGAUUCAAGGAGAGGUAAAAUAUCCAUAUCGGUACGCUAUGGGUCAUGAAACUGAGUACCUAACAGGACCAUGAAAUGAGAAAGAGCUGAAAACUAACUAGAGGAAGGCCCUUCACCAGCAGGUCAUCAUGUGUUGGUACCUUGAGAAACGAGGCAGCCAUUGCAGAGGAUUUGUCAUCCAUGGCGGCGCCUGACCUGGGAUGGUAGCUUCAUGGAAGCAAGAGGGGAACCUAUCUGGAAACACUGUAUGCAAGGGGAGGGUCCUUUAGCCCAUGCACUUCUUGUGACUUCCGGUCCGCUUCUGCAUAGGCUGGGAAUCUCUUGUUUUGUACAAUAAGUGGACUGUAAAAGAACUGAAUUGUUGUGGAGUCGGCUCAUGAAAAUAAUAGUGUUGAUAAGUUAAAUGCGAUGGGAAAUGCAAGCGGUGAAUUGCCAACGAUGUUUCUGAUUCAAUAAAACAGUUCAUGGUAGUCAAGACAAGGGAUGUCAUAGUUUAGUAUCAAUGCAACUAUAUACAUAAUUAACCGAGUUAGGACCGACUUUCUAUAAGAUACAAGUAUAAGGAGGAAAUUCAGAUUAUGGAAAACAAAAUUUUAAUUUAUAACCAAACCAUCCUAGAUGGUAGAUGAACCUGGAGCGUCACAUGACAGAAGAUAGUGAAGCGCGUCAAACAAAGGCACGUAGAAUGAACGAAAAGAAAACAUGCUUAUGAUAAUUUAAGGAAUGAUCAGGAAAAGGCCAAUGAGCAUAGGGCACAUAAAGCGAUGAGUACAAAGUACAAACUAUAAAGCAACAUUCAACUCCAAGAGAAAGACAUCAUCUCCAAGCAGGUAAGCAUUCACUAAAGCAUAAGAAAGGGUAGACAUCUCAUGUUCUCCACUAUAGCAGAACAAGUGCUAAGCACUAAGAAGCCAACAGGAGCAAUUUAUUUAGCGACAAAACAUAUAUGUUCCUACACCAUUAGCAAACAUGAAAAAAGAACACAAAUUCUGAGAGGGCAAUACCCUGGAAGUGUAACCAAUAUUUUUUAUGGAGCCCACUGCUAAUCAUACCAGGUGUUCAAAAAAGUGCACAAGUUCAGGAUCGUUAAUGAAUAACGGUCAAAGGGGCAAACUGCAAUGUGAGAAAACCUUCAAUGUCGUUCCGGUAAAGGAACUACAAAUGAAGCAAAAUAUCAUAUUUAUUAAAAGUGCAUAGGUCUCACAAAAAGUUUUUCUUUAACACUACAAAUAAGAACAUUCGCUCAGAAGCAACACAAUGGACAAGCAGACAUAAUAUCCAGUAGAUCUAUCUAGAAAUUUUCUUAUAAGAAAACUAAAUUUUCUUCUCAUGCCAAAUAUUGAAGUGUGGGUCUUCUUCUGAAGGGUUGACUGAACAUUUAUAAUUUUUGCAUAUGGUAGAUUGAGAAGCUUUUUCAAGAAAGUACCUUGCUUGAAGUUAAAUAGGUUCUGAACUAUAGCUAUCCUUGAUCUUUUGGCUAGUCCAUCCAAUAAGCAUCUUGUAGUACAUGUUAGUUGGAAUGGUUAAACCUGUAGAAUAUAAUCUCAAAUAAAUCACACAGUUCAUAAAAUCAAGUUAAAGUUUGACCCAAAAAACACAUACCAGCAGAGAAAUAAAUAGGAAUCUUCAAGUUCAUCCUUUCCCAAAUUAGAAGGAUAUUAGGCCUCUAGGGAUCAACAUCACCUCCACCGCCUCAUGCCAAAUAUUAAUUCAAUCUCUGAAUAAAAGGAAAAAAAACAUAAGUUUUCAGUGGUUAUGAACACCUUACAAUUGCUGUAUAAUUUACAUCAUCUGUACUGCAGUAGAGGAAAAGAACAUCCAAACUAAAGUGUCAUACUAUUUUAUAUGAGGGAAGGCCAAAAUUCUCAAUGUGUAUUUUCCCUAAACUUCUUAACCGGGUAAUUAAAUUUUUUUUAACUGGGCUCAUAUAGUGCACAAGUUCGAAUUGAAUCUUGGUACUACAUCAUACUGGCUGAAAAUAGUGACUGUCAUUUGUAGAUUUGCUUUUUAUUAAUUUGGAAUGACAGUUGUGCCUAUAGCUGACUCAGAUCUUAGUUGACUCCUUAAUUUGAGGAUACUGAAUCCAUUUUUCGAGCACAUGGUACUGUAUUACACAAUGGAUGAAGUUUUCUGCUUGCAGUACAACAGAAACAGAGUAAGGCAACGAAGCAAAAAAUAUAUACAAAAGGCAAAUGAGUAUGAAAUUAAUUUUGUAGUACUAAUCAUCAUUGUUUAUAAGGCGGUAAGGCGACCUAAGGCGAGCACCACCCGCUCUAGUACCCAGGUGAUGCCUAAGCGCCUAAGGCGGGCAUGUUUGUAAGGCGUUGCCAGGGCGCCUUAUAUCGUCUAUAAGCGUCGAAGGCAGGACACCUAAAAAAAAUCGCUAAUCACUAUUUAAAUAUCUAAAUUAUGUCAGAAUUGAAAAUACCAACCGAGAUCACCUCCAGCACAAGGAGCCCAACGCCAAUCACUUUGAUUGUGGUGUAAAUGUACAUUAGUACCAUUUUCCUACCAACCUAAUUUAGCUAGAAACUAAAUCACUAGCUAGAAGCCAGGGUAAAAAUUACUGAAGCAGCAAAUAUGAAACAAGCAAUAAACAGAUGACGAAACCGCUCCGCAAACGAAAGAUGUUGUGAGACAAGGACAGAUGCUCAUAGUAGAUAUGCAGGAAGGCGAAACCGAAAUAGGAUCAACAUGGCCUACGAGAGGGAAAAACAAAGUCAUGACAAAAUAGCUACACACCCGCAAAGAGUAUGAUAACCUUUCAAGGAGCACCAGUUUGAACAAAUGCAUAAAACAAAGGAUGACAACGAUUCACAAAGUGCAGAAAAUGAAAUGGAAAAUAUACGAAAACUACAAAGGCAAAAGGAAUCAUGUCAAAUUUAUAUUAACUAUAAGAUCUAUGAAUAUUGAGUAGAUGCUGCCACCUCGUUAAAGGACAUAGAUCGGUCCUCAUAGGAUCCUGGGUGGAGGCAUGGCAUGGAAGGCCGAACUCUAGUGCACCAACUCUAGGGCACCAUGGGUUGCAUCUGGAAGGGCCAGGGGCAUGAAGCAGGAGCAUGCCAUUAAAUCUGAGCAUAAAAAGUCUAGAUGUCAAAACAGAACUUACUUUUCCAAUCUGCUAUACAUUUGUAAACUCAAGAAUGUUCCAAAAGAAUUAUGGUUCUAACACAAGAAAAGGAGUAGGCCUUAUUGUGUUUUCAGAUAAAUCAAAGCAAUACAUAAUUCCUUAGAUAAUAAAGUGGAACUCCACCAAGACAUGAAGCGGGCAUAAAUCAGAAUUGCAGAUGAUAAAAUACAGAAUGUGCUUGUGUAUUUCAUUUAUAGAGAAAACAAUUCUAGGAAUGCAAUUUUCUAAUGCUAAAAUAACAUUGAUAGCAUAAGAAGCUACAUAUCAAAAUAGCUGGACGAAUUUUAGCCAAGGACGAGAUGCAAAAAUUAGUGAGCACUGGCAGCUAACCAGGCAAUGGAAGGGAGAACCUUAUAUCACCUUGAGUAGGGCUACUUUCAAGAAGAAUGUUGGUUAUUCUGAACUAAGCAAGGUUAACCCUUACACGAAUCAAGAACUGAGAUGACCACAAGAAACCUGGAAAGCCUAAACCUCUCCUUCACAACAAAGCCAUACCAAAAGCACAUCGAUCUACCCGGUCAAGAGCACCAAUUAAACGGUCCACGCUAACUAUCAAGAACACAAAAGCAUGCAGCAGCGUGCCAUAUCAUUUACUACUACAGAACAAUAUCAACAUGAACUUGGAAAAUCAAAUCAACUAUAUCUAUUUUGGCUUUCAUCUCUCACCAGAUCCAUUUACUCAUCUAAGAAUACCAAUCAAAAGGGGCACACUAAAAUAGCAAAGCAUCUCGUGGGGUACUCUUAAUUAUCAUAUGACCUCAAGAAACCUGGCAGGACUAACCCCCUCCUCAACAACAAAGCCAUACAUUAUAAAAAAACCUAGCUAGAUCCAAUGCUUCCUGGACAACAAGGUACCAACACAAGAAGACAACUCCAAAAUUCCCCUUCCUUGGAACCUACCCUAGAGCACUAAACGAAGAAGAAACCACACCCCCUUUACAUAGACCUAGCCAUCCUUCAUGCAAAAAGGAACAAAAUCACCAACAUUCAAUCCACAGAGGAACAUCAAUUGCAGGACCUACCAAGAUGCAGAAAAAGAACAACAGACAUAGAUCUACACUACACACAAACAAGUAAAAAAGUACUUUUGGCCUUUACCACGUCGCUGCCAAACAACAAAAGGCCUCACUGGCCAGCCUACACAUUGACACGCACGACACGAUAUGAUACAUGUAGUGCUAGAACAAAAGAGAAGUGAAAAGUGAAAAGGAGGAGGACAAGGAUUGACCCGCAGAUCCAUGAACAGAGGUGCAGGGGGGUCAGGUCGAAGGAGGCGCCGGUGACAAUGCACGGAUCUGCAAGGAAAACAAGCCACAAAUCAAAGACAAGCAGUAGCCUGUGGCCAAGAACAGGGCAGAAUAGGCACAUACCUACAGAUCGAUGACCAGAGCAGCAGAUCCAGCGGAGCGGCUGGAUUUUGAUGGGACCUGCAAGCAAAUGAGGAAAGGCACAUCAACAGGCAUCACGCCGCAGCGAGGCCAUCACAACACCCAGCCCACGACUCCAGGCGCAGGCAGCCCCAAUGCUCGCCCAGCAAGCACCACAAUACCGAGAUGAAGAACAAGGAGGAGCAGGAUCAUCAAAGAGCGAAAGAAAGGAGAAGAACAAAAGGCAGGGGCUGAUGCGAGGAUAAGGAUCGAACGAGAAGAGCAGCUUCCCAGUGUACCCAUGCUUGGCAGCGACGUGGAAGGCGCCGAGGUCGAGUCAGGAGCGGAGCGUGGCGGCAUCGAGCGGGGGGAGGAGGCGCACGACCUCGAGCGCGUCACCCUUCGCCGCUAGAGCUCGGACUCCCCCGUCUCCUUCUGCGCGGCCACGAGCGCGGCGGUGGAGCCGGAAUCCUCGGCGCAGGCUAGGAGCUCGCGGACGGCGUCGGCAUUCACGGAUCGGACGGCCGCAUAGAGCACCAUUGCAGCUGCUUCGCCACGACUCGAGCAGAAGGGAGGGUCGAUGGUGAUCUUGUGGGGAGGAGGGAGGCACAUAGCAGCGGGAGCGGGAGCCGGAGAGAGCGAUGGCAUAGGAGCGGGAGCGGCGGCGCGAGAAAGGUGCGGGAGAGAGAGAAGUGAGAGGAGACAAGCCCAAACCCUAGCGUCUCUUCCUAUUGGGGACAGAGCAACGAAUCGGGGCGAUCCAAGUGGCGUCGAUCCAUCCGAAAUUCCAUCAUUGCCCCCGGUGGGAGGCCAAAAUUACAGGCGGUGGCACGCAUUUUCUACCGCGUAAGAAGCCCACCGGGCACUCUUCUAACCAUGGCUGCUGACGGGCACGGCCCACAGGUGACCAGACCCCGCAAAUCAGCGACAUAUGGCUAAUACCCACAAGUGAGAAAAAAAAUUACCAAACCAGAAAAAAUGUCACGCGCGAACUGAUGGCACAGAUUAGGACACGUGAGCGUGGCUGAUCGGAUCGGACGGUCAGAAUUCCAAAUGCCCUGAGAAGCCUCAUGUUCCGGCACGAAUCAAGAAUUGAGAUGAGCUGCAGCUUUUUCCAUGCAAAUAGAGGGGCAGACUAGUCCAAAAUCACCCACAAAAUUCUUACCUUGGUAUGCGGGUCAAGAGUUAUACUCAAACUAAAAAGGACCGGAGGGAGUAUCACCUAUUUCCCCGAAACUGCACCCACAGGCCCACAAAGUUGACCUUUACCAGCAUGUACAUGCGUUCCAAUCAUGCUAACAUGUGAAACUAGAUCUUCGUCACCCAGUAGAAUCACUGGUGACCAAAAUGAGUACAAAAUCGGCGCACCUUCGGACCAUACAGCUGAGGAUAUUGCCCCAGGCUUGCACCAUGUGCAAUUAGAAAGUAUGCUGCCUUAUUAUAUUCUCUAGAACAAUGAAUGAUGCAGAAACGAGAAAAAAUAACCAGACAGAGAUUUUUAUUUCCUGGAAGAGGACACCACUGAGCGAUCUAUCAUGGUCAUUAUUACUACUGGCUCGCUUCACUAGGAGGGAGUAUAUUUCGACCAUGGCUGCAAUCAUGCCCCAGCUCUGAGUUGGGGAUUCUGAAUAUGUUGGAUAUGACCCACACAUAUAGCCACGGCCUCCCCGAGCUCGUUUUGUACGACAAACCCCAAGUUGCCAUGCAAGGCAUUAUUCGGAGUGCUUUCCAUCAACAUUGAUCUUCAGUGGGUCCCUUCUAUUGAGAAAUCUUACAAAGAGGCGCAUGGUGUACGUACUAUUUAUUUCCGAAAACAAAAUCAACCCACACUAUAUGUAAAACUGUACCAAAACCCUUAAAUGCAUGGUUAUUAAAAAAGAACGUGUAGAACCCCGAUAGCAUGGAAACACCUAGCAAAAAUAGGCAUGCAUCGCAGUCUAACAACAACUAUGCAGGCAUCCUAGCAUUGCUCGCCAACUGAUAUCAUCUAUGCUCCAUGAAACCACAGCCACGAGCCCACAAAGUUGACCUCUACCACCAUGCACAUCCAUCAAAAUGUGGGUAAGAUGUGAAACUAGCUCUUCGACAACGCCUUCGAGAAUGAAGUUGUACCUAAAUACCUAAUCAGGGUUAGGGUAGAUGUGUGUAUGAUGCUUGGUUGUCUGAUGUUUUGGUAUCAUUGUUUGUGGGCUGGCCAAGGAAAUUACAAUUUACAAGUGCCUAAUUUUGCCUUAGAAUUACUUAUUUAUUAUUUUUAUACAGGUCCUCGAUAUUUGGAAAAUCUUUCAUUCGGAAUCUUAUGACCAGCUUUUGUAGACAUUUAAGGGGUGGUUUUCUAUUCACUUUGAAGCAGCCUACGUCAUCUUCUGAAACCUCACAAUCAUCCUAACCUACACUAGUCAAAAAGCAAGUAGGUCCACGUAUGAUCAAGCUAUGUCGUUGGCCUAAAAGGCGGGUAGCUUGAACUGAGACCUAUUCCACUAGGGUUGGACGAACAACAGCCACUGGCGGGAUACCUUCGGUCCCCUCGCCUUCUUCAGCCAUCUUGGUGGCGAGAGGUGAGAGGACCUCAGAUCGUCAAGAAUCAUAUGGUCUUCGUCAGCAUCUACCGGUGCUCGUUGUAUUUUUGCGAAGAAAAACACAACAUCCUUAUUUGGCGAUGCCAUGGAGCCGAAAAGGUUUGUGUCCUUGCAGAGUUGAUUAUUCAGAUCGACUAAGUUUACUUUAGUGUGCCCUGUUGAUUUUGCUGCUUUGGUUCUUCGUGGAGUUAAAAUCUUUCCUCGACAGUAUGGUGAGGAUCUUGCGGUUCGACGUCCUGCACUUCUAGGGAAUCAUCCCCAACCCAAGUAUGUUCAUCGCUUAUGGUUUCCCAUCUUUUUAGAUGGGCGAGUCAAGGGGCUUUAAGAAACCUUUAUUGAUAACCAAGUUUGUGCGGGUAAACGAGCGGCGUUAUCGUUGUUCCGCUUCAAUCGCAGUCUCUUUACUAAAAGUCUUGGCACUAUUUCAUCUUGCAAAGAUUGACACCAUAUAAAACAGAUUUCAUUGUAAUUCUUAGUUGUACGAGUUACUUCGUAAUUUCUUGUAUCUUGGAUCCAAAACAUUGGACCUGCAAUAUUGCCCAGUGUGAAUGAAAUUACAGGUAUUUCUCAUAAAAACAUGUGCGCAAAUAGCUAUAUGGGGUAAGUGCGUAUUAAAAGAAAAAAGGUUAGUAAUGGAACUUCAAUAAUAUCACAACAUCCACACAUAGAGUGCAAAAACAACACCACAAACGACGUAGAAUAUUCUUUUUCUAAACAUGCAUUUGAUACGGUUGUACCAUGUUAAACAUUUAGUAAAUACAUGAUAACAGUUUUUAAUACAUGAUGAGUAGUUUUUCAUACACUAUGAAUAAACCAUAACAUUUCAAAAAUUUCGAAUAUUCUUUUAAUAAGUCAAGAACAUUUUUUAAUACACGUUAACAUUUUUAAUACACAUGGUGAAUAUAAUUUUAAUACACGAUAAACAUUUUCAUAAUACAUGAUGAACCCUUUCAACACAUGGUGAACAUUUUUUAGAUACUUCAUGAAUAUUGACACAAUGAACAUUUUAAUACAUGGCAAACUUUUUUAUAAUAAAUAUGUAUUUUUUUAGUUGAUGAAUAUUUUUAAGUACGAGAAGAAUAGAUUUAAUUAAGUGGCAACUUUUUUAAUACUUGACGAAUAAUUUUUUUAAACACAAUGGCCAUUUUAUUAAAUAUUAAGCAUUUCUAAUACACAAUGAACAAUUUAAAAGUACAUGGUGGACCUUUUUAGUAAAAUGUAAACAAACCAGUUUUUAGUACACGAUGAACACUAAUUAAUAGACAAGGAUUUUUAAUAUAAAUAAGAACAUUUUAAGUAAAGCAUAAACAUUUUUUAAUACACAAUACGCAAUGAAUGUAUUUUUAAUAUACACCAUAAUUUUCUUGGUUACACUGUUAACAUUUUUAAACACAUGGAAAAACCUUUUUUUUAAAUAUGGCCCAUAUAUUUUAGUAUCUGAUGAAGAAAAAUAACCAGAAGAAAUGAAAAAAGAAAAAUGAAAGAAAUAUAGGAACAAGGAAAAGGAGAACUAAACAAAAAAGAAGAGAGAUAAAAGAUGAGGAAGAAGAAAAGGAACGAAAUAAAAAAGGUAGAGAACCCAAACAAAAAAUAGAUAAAGAACAGACAGAAACACCAAAAAACCAAACCAACCUGGUUCACGGAAAACAUUUAGAAAACAGCGGUAAAUACCCAUUCAGAGAAUAGAUGGUGAAAAGUCAUCAAUUAUUUGCCUGGUUAUCCCUAGGUUUUAGAGAACUUUUUUGCACCACUUUUUGCGUGAAAAAAUAAUGCUUCCAUGAGAAGCACAAAUUUCCUUUUAAAAAAAAUAGAUGUGAAAACUUAUGGACAUUAUUUUAAAAGCAAUGAACAUUUUUUAGUUUCAUGUUUCAUUUUGAAAUUUCCACAUGAACAUUUAUUUCUAAUAUUUUUUUAAAAAUAUGUGAACUUUUUAGAUUUAUGAACAUUUAUAAAACUAGGACAAUGCCCGUGCGUUGCCACGGGGCAAUAAAGACAAAGACACUGAUCAAUAUUGUGUGUCAUCUCCUUCUUCUUAGUAUAUCAUCAUCGCUCUUGUUUUUUGUUUUUGUCCUAAAGCAGUAGAGAAAAACAAAACCUACAUGUGUUGAUAACCCCUCAAAUGUUCUUGUCCUUGCAAUUUGCCUAUAUUAGAACACACCAAUUAUCGGAUUAGAAGAACCGCGCAACUAAUGAGCCAUGGAAAAUUGAUUUGGAGAACAGGGAUCAGGCCGACCUUAACGGAACAUGGACCAAACUGUAGUGUUCUACCUUUCCUGUGGUCCUCCUUGGUUGGUAGUGAUGGUUCUCCCCAAGUCCUUAGUCACUUGCAAGCUGCUGCAUAAUGAAUUUUGUAUCAACAGGUGCAUUUUUUUUUCACUUUUCUGAAUUUACAGGCUAAGUAAACAUUUGCAGGCUGUUUCUAUUUGCAACAACGGUUCCUAUUGCCUAAUGAAAGUUACAAGAAGGGCGUUGUCCACUCAGAACAAUCAUAUUGAAGGUCAAAUUGAGCCUGCAACUAAUAAUAUGAAAUUACUAUUUUUGACAUAGAAAGGGUUGGAUCUGAUAGGAGCAUACCCAUUUGUUUACCGGAAGAACAUAUCGGGUAUGGCCACCAAAAAGAAUAUCAAAAUAGCUAGCAUUUAGUUUAGACAUGACAACUGUUGUGACUUCUAAACUGCUACAACUUCCUUCUAUUUGGUGUCUUGGGUAUGAGUAAGAAAAAUGUUCGGUCUGAAAAGACAUAAGGUAAAUGAGACCAAAAAAUUAUACAUAUAAUGAAAUAAGACUGGAGAAGAAAUAUGUCCUUUAAUCGUAUGCACAGAGGCAUACAGCCAUUUCACUAAACGUGUACUGAUCUGUUCUUCCAAAUUGUCUACAAUGAAUUCAGUACUCAUCUGAAUGACUUUCUUUCUUUGUCUCUGUAGAGAGAAUUCAUAACUCAUAAAUUGGACGUUUGACACCAGCAACGAAAGAGUGGCUCACCAUUCUUCAGCGAUUCCUCCCUAUAUGGAUAUCAUGCGGCGAUGUAGCAGACAUAGUAAGACCCACCUAAUCAACUAUCAGAUCUGGACGCUGCUUCAGAUAUGAUUCCCUUGACAAGAGCCCCAUGGGCUUGCCAUUUGAGUGCUGUGUCAACUAUCAAAACUUCAAAACUAUCAGAUUCGUACAAACAAAAAAGGAUUUCCUGCAAAAAACAGGAUAGGUAGAACAUGAAGCAACUUACACGCAUGAUCUCGAGAGGAUGUUGGCAGAUAGCAUCUUCCCUGCUGCUGCCGCCGCAGCCGACCGGCUCAGUCGCCGAAAGCCGUAACGAUGCCUCCCACCUCGGCCUCCUCCAUUCGGCAAUGACGAUGCGAGGUGGGGCUAACAAGAUGUAGGUUUUUUUGGGGGCAAACUCAGAUUGGGGAACCACAACGAUCAGGAGCAGCGUGUCAUUGGGGAUGAGGGGAAGACGGUGGUGGCGCUGCGAGGACGAAUUGAUGUAAGAUGCUAGGGGAGGACGAACUGAGUGGGAAGGAGAUGAUCGGGGCGUGGCCAGCGGCCGGAUCGACAGCGUAUGGGCCUGACGAGACGACCCGGCGGCGACGGCCAUGGGAGGCCAGGAGGUCUCGCCCACACUAUCCUCGAACCCAUGGGCCAAGUUCCUCCGGACGGCAACGUCCAAUCCCUAGGAUGCCCGAGUCCGUGACCUCAGAACGUUGCCAAUCUCCCCUGCUGCUUGUGAGAUGGAAAGGAGAGGUGGUGGGUUGCGCUCAUCGCGGUGUCGGCGACUCUGGCGGCAGCCAAAUCGGCAGGAGAUAGAAUCAACCCGUGGAUUCAGGAGAUGAGUGAGGGGGGAAUUGAUCAAAGGUUCUAAGAGGAAACAAACUAACGUGGGACAGGAGGCGUUCAGGGGUGCGGGAGCCGGGAGGGCGAACGAAGUGCAACGAGGGUCGGACGAAAGAACGACGCAAUAGGGGAAACGGUACCUUACGUUUCUUUAAUAGUAGUAUAUAGAGAUAGAGAUAGAGGUAGAGAUAGAGAUUCACUUUGAAAUCCAUGGUAAAUUUUGAAUACAUUAUUUUGUUUCAAAUCUAGCAAAGACGCCAACACAAUACGUAUGAUAAAGUUGAGAGACGUGAAGGUCAUUAAGGUGAAGGGAAAUGACAUUCACAUGUUAAUUAGUAAAGAUGACAGCACAAUACGUACUCUAUGUAUGCUUAAUCCACAAUCCUCUUUUUUUUUUACAAACACAUGUAAUUUUAUUCAUACUCAUAACAAUUACAGGUAUACUGAUUUGGAUCGAAAAUCCCAUAAAACAAAAAGUAACUCAUAUGACUAAGAAUUACAAUGAAAUCUCUUGAAAACACCUUCUUCGUAGUAUCAUUCUCUGCUAGAAGAAAUACUUUAAAGACUUCGGUAAAGAGGCUGCAAUUGAACUGGAACAACGAUGUUAUCACUCUUUCACCUGCCUUGAAAAUCGCCUUGAGUCGUUCAUCCAAAAAGAUGAGAAGCCUUCUGUGUCAUGAGGCAUCGGCCGAAGUUAUAUUACAUACAGAGAAAACUCAGCCCGCGCCGCAUGCAUCGGUGUACUAAUAGGUCGAGCUUGUGGAUGGAUCGACAAAUUGUAGUGAUAUGUACUAUGUGCUAUACAAUGGAUGACACUAUGUCUCGCUUAAAGCGAGAGGGCGACUGGAACCAUCACGUAAUGCCAGCGCCAGAUGGGCCAACCCAUCUCGUCUUGUUUUUUUUCUGUUUCUAUCUUCACAUUUUUUGUUUUAAUUUAUAUAUUUAUUUUUUACUUUUGUUUACACUUAUAAAACCUAAAAAUAUAUAUUGCAAAUUAAUAAUAUAGGAAAAAUUCUAAUAACGCAUUUGAAAAUUGUUAAAUAUGUAUAAAACAAUGUUGACAAAAAUAUAAACAAUAUGUGUGAAAAUUUUGAUCACGUAUUUAAAAAAUUAAUCAAUCAUUUGGAAAAAUGUUAAUCAAGUAUUUGAAAUAUGUUUAUAAAGCAUUUGAAAAAAUGUAAAUGUGCAUAGUAACAAUGUUGACCAUAUAUUAAAAAAUGUCAAUCGUUUACAUGAAAAUGUUAAUUAAAUAUUAGGAAAAAAUUAAAUGUGUAUAGAAAAAUGUUGAGCAUGUAUUAAGAAAAUUUUAAUAUUUUACUAAAAAUAUUCAUAAAUCAUUUGAAAAACCUUUAAAAUGUGUAUAGACAUUUUUUUGACCAUGUAUUCAAAAAAUACAUAUCUUGUAUUAAAAAUGAUUAUCUUGUAUUUGAAUAAUGGUAAACGUGUCUUAGAAAAAUGUAUUAUACAUACCAAAAUUUACAAUGUCCAUGGCAAAAGGUAGGCAGAAAAAAUAUUAGUUUUGACAAAAAUGUUACUCAUCUAUGUUAAAGAAUUAAACCUGUAUAUAAAAAUAUUUUUUAUGUUUACAAAAAGUGUUGAAUUUGUAGUAAAAAAGUUAACAUGUGUUGGACAAAAAAGUAAACCAAUGAAAAUCAACAAAACAAAUAGGAAACCUAUGAAAAAAUCAUUUAAAAAACAAAAGAAAAUGAAAACCAAAAAAAGUGCAAAAUGGAAACAGAGAAAACCGAUGAAACCAAUAAAUAAACAAAGAAAAUGACUCAAGAAAGAUAACUUUAAAAACAAUGAAAACAGAGAAAGAAACAAAUAAUAGCAAAGAAAAUGCAAAAAAAGGCGAUGAAAUCCAAAAAAGAUACGAAGAAACCCAAUGAAAAAGAGAAGAAAAAUCGAAUAAAAAAUAAUAGCAAAGAAAAAAUAGUAAUAACCGAGAAGAAGCAAAGAAAAAACAAAGAAAAUACGAUAAAAACUAAACAAAGAAACGAGGACAUAAAAACAAAGAAAGCAAUGCAAAAGAAUGAAAAAAUAGUGAAAAUCCAUAAAUAAAGAAAAAAACAAAGAAGACCAUAAAAACUAGGAAAUGAAGAAAAUAAAAGAAAAAUGAAGAAACUAAGAAAUAAAGAUAAACCAGUAAAAAUCAAGAAAUAAACAAAAAAAGAUAACGAAAAUGAAGAGAAAGAAAAGAAAAGCAUGUAAAACCAUUAGAGAUGCAAAGAAAACCGUUGAAAAAGAAAAACUGUAAGAACUGAAGAAAAAUGACCAAAAACAAAGAGAACCGAAGAAGAAGCGGAAUAAUAAUGAAAACCGAUGAAAGAAACAGGAAAAACCGGAUAAGAAUUAAAGAAACUGAAAGAGAAAUGGGAAAAUGAAAAAAAAAACACAGUAAACCACGUCGAACAACACACAACCAGCUAACGGCCUAGCGCUAAACCAGAGCCUAACCAGUACUGUAUGGUCGUUGAGAAACCUCAAGCAAGAUGGAACGAAGUCUCACUAUAGGCGAGAUAUAGAUAUCGCGCUAUGCAACGAGUGAAUUUGUUUUUAUUUUGAAAGAUCCAACAAUUGCUGGGCUUUGAUUGAUCAUUAGCAGGAAGGAAAAAAUAACAAGGUGUGGUGGAUCCUAGGAUCAAAAGGAAGAAAGUGGAAAAACAACAACGAGGCCGGACAAAGUACAUGUCCAACAUCACUACUAGCAAAACCAUAUCUCUCACGAUGGAUCCCCAAAGGGGUUCUCAAUGCAUUUUGCACGCGUCAGUCAAUCGGCCAAAGCUCGAACUUAUCAAUAAUAACCUUGAUGAUAUCCCUUGAGGAUGGCAGCUUUUUCCAGAAGGUGCAUUUGUUGCGCUCCUACCAAAUUUCACAGCAAGUGAGCACCAACAAAGUUCUUGUCCCUUUCUUGUGUCCUAGCAGAUGCCAGAUACAAGGAGUGAAUUUCCUUUGCGCGUUCGAAAUCCUGGCCAACUUGUUGUACCAUGUAUGUGUGCAUCAAUAUUAUUUGAUCGAUCGUGACCAUUGCAGUGCUGCUAGUAGGUGGCAACGAGGAUCCGUGGGGAAGCCGGGUGCUGCAUGAGAGGCGGGAGCGAUGUGUGGGAGCCGGGAGGCACUUGGGGCAGAGGGCGCCAAUGAAGAAGCCCCCCUCACCCAACCCCAACGGCAUGAACACUAUGGUGAAGCCUGAUUCACCAUCCCCGAUGUUAUUGAUCUACUGGGCAUACAAGUAUGCAGAUUUGAUGCUCACUUGCCUAUUAUUUGCAACAUUGUAUGCAUUCACGUGGGACAUAGCCGCAAAAUAUUUUCUUAGGAUUAUCUCUUUUUUUGGCAAAAAUACUCUUAGAUCUAUUACCCAUAGACUAGCAGUACAAGACAACCUUGACAAAGAAAGAUACUACAACCAGGUCCCUUGGAUGCCUCACUCCUCCAAUCUCUUGGAUACGCUCAUAGUGCAUCGCCGCAGCCGCUCCAUUAGCUUCCCCGGUGCCAGAUUCCAACGAACCUUGUAGUAUAACACGAACAGGAAGUCAUCACUGCCAAACAUCUUGGAGAUGAAGUCGUAGUCACCAAAUCAUAAGCCAAAGAGCUGAGAGCCUCGAUGUUGUCCAAGCUGGCACAGAAGCACCAGAGCAGGGUACACCGCUGCUGCCACCUAGGACGAAAACAAACAGUGCCAACUACCCAAAGCCUGAACAAACUCUCGGAGCUUCCCGGCGACACUGAAGAAGCCAACGCCGUAACGCGGGUGAAGCCCGAAGACUGAACAGUCGAUGGUACUGUCGUCUCCACCACAACAGCAGCACUAUGCCCAACAUCCAGAGAUUGUUUUAUGACGAAGCUGGGGGCGUCGUUGUUGAGGGGGGGGGCAAGGAUCGGGCUUAUUCCAUAUGCACUGAUGCCACUCCCCCACACCGCCACGGGAUAAGCAAGCGCACACCCUAUUUACACACUAGAAAACUAGAUCCGGGGUUCCCCCACCCGCCCACCGCCGGAGAGGCCGGAGAAGGGGAGGAAAACCCACGGUGGCACCGAGGAACUGAGGGAGCCUUUUCUUCGCCCAGAGCCUAAGUUGAACGACUCCAAACCUUUAGCAUUAUCUUUGCAAGUACUCCCUCCGUUCCUAAAUAUAAGUCUUUUUAGACAUUUCAAAUAGAAUACAACAUAUGGAUGUAUAUAGACAUAUUUUAGAAUGUAGAUUCAUUCAUUUUGCUCCGUAUGUAGUCACUUGGUCCAAUCUCUAGAAAGACUUAUAUUUAGGAACGGAGGGAGUACAACGUUGGAGUUGUGUUGUUCUCUGGCAUUUCGUAUGAAAGAUUUUUUUUUCUAGUUUCUCUAUUUUUAGUCACCCCUUCUUUUAGGGGGCGAAAAAUAAGGUUAAUAGUAUAUCAAUUGAUUAAAUGACAAAGUUUAUGGGCCUCUAGCAGGCUAAAUUGCAUUUUGGUCUGACCUAAUCGUGGGCUCGCGGCUUGAUCCACUUCGCCGCGUGAGAGAUGUGAAGGGGAAGGGCUACAUGACAAUUGGCAAAGGGAGUGUCUCACCAGGGUGGAACUGCAAGCAACGUACAUCUAGCCAUGCAUGGUCAACACCCGCGAGACGAGCAGAGCCAAAAUCGUAUCCAUGCUACUGGCUGGCAGAGGAUUUAAGAGCGUCGCUAUCGGACAACGAACAGCUCACAACACACACAAAGCAAUCUCUCUCUCGCUGUCUAUCCCAUGUAGCUACUGACUCGAGCCCCCUUUUUUAUUUGGUUUGCGUGCAAGUUUUUUUUUCCUUUUUAGUUUGCUCCCAACCCUCCCCCCUAUUUAUUCCAAUGCCUCCCCUUGUUUUCGGCUUCACAGGCAACCCAUGUGUUAACUACUCUGACAAUUGUGUAUGCAAUUUCCUCUCUCUUUUCUCUUCGCCUUCCAGAUCUCUCAUCGUACCCAAAUCUUCCCCUCUAGACGCCAUGAUCUACCAACGGAGAGGCACAUGUUUUCUCGUCAUCACCGUCAUGCUCCUCCUCCUACCUCUGAUGGCUUCCUAUCCAUGUGUGGCCACUGCACAUGACCCACUGCGUCAUGCUCCAGGUAUAUCUAUAUGCGCAACUGAGUUCCCUUUGGAUGUUUUUGAAUCCUGGAUUUGUUGUUCAUAUGUAUGUAUGCGUGCGUUAAUGUAAUUACUAUGAUGAUGCUAGGUGGAGACAUUGGUGUGUGGGGUCGUUCAGAUGGGCCACAUCAUGAAGGGGAAAAGGUGUUUGGGAUGGGGGCUGCGAGGCGCUUGGGGCAGAGGAAACCGAUGAAGAACCCUCCCUCGCCUGUCCCCAAUGAAAACAUGGGGGUGGUGUUACCCCUGACACCGCCACCACCGUCGUUGAUCAAUAAACAGGUGUUGGAGGUCCGGGAUACGAGCAUGCCAUGUUGACUUUCGUGCACCUCCUUAUCUGUUGUUGUUGUGUUAUAGGAAUAGUUUCGCUAUUGUGAAAUAAGUUGGCAUGCUUCAAAGUGUUAAAAUAUAUUGUUUGCUUAUGUAUACCAAUUUGGACUUUUGAGAGAAAUGGUGAAAAUAUAAUUUUAUUAUAGUAGGAGUCAAGUGGUCUCAAGCUUAAGACGUGUGGUCGACGAGGUACUAAUAAAUUAGUUGUAGCAUACAUACAUAAAUUUUCUAAGUGGAACUAUUAUUUUGCUAUUGAUGAAAAUUAAAUCAUGUUAAGCUAUUUACAAUAGCACACACCCCAAUGAACUAUUUAUCUAGUUUAGCUAUCUUAGGACUCUAAGCAAAUCCAUAUAAUUUGUGUUUCUUCCUUAAUUCUAUUUUCCUUCCAAUACAUGCAGUAACUGAAGAGGAGAUUGGCCAUACAUAUGACCCACUGCGGAUCUCUAGGGGAAUGUCAUAUUUAUUAGGCGAUAGAGCGAUGUGUGGGCCUCAACGAUAAUUAAUGGACUAAAAUUGGUGUUGUUAAAUAGGAAAUUUAGGAUGCCUUGGUCCUUCCUAUUUGGCCACUUAAAUAAACCCAAAUACUAUAUGAUCAUUUAUUUCUCCGUUUGCACGACAAUGUAUUUCAAUUUUUAUGUUUAGUUAAGGCGUUGUCGUCCAAACAUGCAUUCCAAUGUACCUUGGACGGGUCUAUCAAACAACUAAACAUAACCAUAAUUUGUGCCAAAAGGCGUUGAUGACCAAGUCCAUUCCAAAAAACCACCAACACAUGGUGGACCAAAUGCCAUCAUAGUUCACAAGGGCUUCACGCACUCACGCUGUCACCGGCGGCACCACCAUUGUCAUCGCCACCAUUGCUGCUGCCAGCACAUAUCUUACCAAGAUGUCGCCACGAUUAAACUCCCAAUAUUGCCUUGCCUUCUCGUCCAUCUUCCUAGGAUCCAUCCACAUGGUUGCAUGUUCCUCGCCCACCCUCUUGUUCCUUUGCUUCUCGGCCGCUAAUGCAACUUUUGCUCCUCACUCUCACUCUUUUUCUUUUUCUUCGCGACCUCAAUUUCAAGGCUUGUCACCUCAAGUUCAAGUUUUUCUUUCUUCCGCUAGCACCUUUAUCUCCUCGGCGAUCACCUUUUCCUUCUAUUUUGUCUCCUCCAUCAAUUUCAUAUCAUAGAAACAAGUCAUCUUCUCCUCCUCCCGAUCGGCCACCAAUGCCCUUUUAACAUCCACCAUUGCAAUCAACUCUUCCUUUCCUUGUAAAGAGCUUGAAUGACGGGUUCAUACUCGUUCCAGGGCACUCCACCCGGCGACGCAAGGUUGACUAGCUCAACAUAUUAUUCCCACCAGUUGCAUUGAUCUUAGAUCACACCCCAAUAAGGAGUGAGAAAUCCGAUUGUGUGGUUGGUCACAUUGUUAUUGUAGUACUCCUUGAUCCUUUGAAAAAAUUCUCCUUUGUUUGGUCAGCCCCUAACGUGGCAUCGAGAGAGAUGUUGACCCAAGCUUCACACAAAGCUUUGUAUUCCUCGGUCUUGUACUUGCAAAACCUACUUCUCUUUCUUGUUAGUUUGGGUCUCUCCGACCUCAUCAACAACGUUGGCAUUUCUCGCCAUCUCUUGGGUAUAUGGCAUUGACAUGGUGCUACCUGUGAGCCACGUUGGGAUUUCCCCGAAGAGGAGGGGAUGGAGCAGUACAGUAGAGAUAAGUAUUUUCUUCAGUUAAUAACCAGGGUUAUCAAUCCAGUAGGAUUACCACACAAAACAUUGUUAGCAGCACCUGCACACACAAAAACAAAUACUUGCACCCAACGCAAACAAGGGGGUUGUCAAUCCCCUUGGCGGUUGGUGUCGCUUGAAGCUACGUCAGUAUUUCCCCAAAGAGGAAGGGAUGAUGCAGCACAGCGGCGGUAGGUAUUUCCCACAGUGAAGAAACCAAGGUUAUCAAACCAGUAGGAGAACCCAGCAACACAACGUAAUCAGCACCUGCACACAAAUAACAACACCUCGCAACCCGACGUAAGAGAGGGGUUGUCAAUCCCUCACGGGUAAAAAGAUAGAUAGUUUUGUAGCAAUUUGGAUAAAUAGAUCUCGCGGGAACGCGAGAUAAAACAAUUAAUAACAAAGUGCAGCAAGGUAUUUUUUGUAUUUUUGGUUUAAUAGAUCUGAAAAUAAAUGCCAAGGAAUAGUAAAUCGCAAAGGCAAAUAUGUGAUAAAGAGACCCGGGGGCCGUAGAUUUCGCUAGUGGCUUCUCUCGAGAAAAAUAGCAAACGGUGGGUAAACAAAUUACUCUUGGGAAAUUGAUUGAACUCCAAAUAAUAAUGACGAUAUCCAGGCAAUGAUCAUUAUAUAGGCAUCACGUCCAAGAUUAGUAGACCGACUCCUGCCUGCAUCUACUACUAUUACUCCACACAUCGACCGCUAUCCAGAAUGCAUCUAGUGUAUUAAGUUCAUGGAGAAACGGAGUAAUGGAAUAAGAACGAUGACAUGAUGUAGACAAGAUCUAUCUAUGUAGAGAUAGACCCCAUCGUUUUAUCCUUAGUAGCAAUGAUACAUACGUGUCGUUUCCCUUUCUGUCACUGGGAUCAAGCACCAUAAGAUCGAACCCACUACCGGGCACCUCUUCCCAUUGCAAGACAAAUAGAUCAAGUUGGCCAAACAGAACCCAAAUAUCGGAGAAGAAAUACGAGGCUAUAAGAGAUCAUGCAUAUAAGAGAUCAAAGAAACUCAAAUAACUUUCAUGGAUAUAAAAAGAUAGAUCUGAUCAUAAACUCAAAGUUCACCGAUCCCAACAAACACACCGCAAAAAGAGUUACAUCAUAUGGAUCUCCAAGAGACCAUUGUAUUGAGAAUCAAGAGAGAGAGAUGAAGCCAUCUAGCUACUAACUACGGACCCGAAGGUCUAUAAAAAACUACUCAUGCAUCAUCGGAGAGGCACCAAUGGAGGUGGUGAACCCCAUCCGAGAUGGUGUAUAGAUUGGAUCUGGUGGUUCUGGACUCUGCGGCGGCUGGAUGAAUAUUUUGUCGACUCCCCUAGGGUUUCUGGAAUAUUGGGGUAUUUAUAAAGCAAAGAGGCGGUCCGAGGGGCACCCGAGGUGGGCACAACCCACCAGGGCGCGCCUGGGCCUCCUGGCGCGCCCUAGUGGGUUGUGCCUCCCUCGGGGCACCCCCAGGCGCAGCCAGGGCCCGUUGUGUUCCUUCUGGCCCAUAAAAAUUCUCCGUAAAGUUUCGGGGAAUGUGGACUCCGUCUGAUAUUGAUUUCCUGUGAUGUAAAAAACAUGGAAAAAACAGCAACUGGCACUUGGCACUAUGUCAAUAGGUUAGUACCAAAAAAUGAUAUAAAAUGAUUAUAAAACAUCCAAGAUUGAUAAUAUAGCAGCAUGGAACAAUCAAAAAUAAUAGAUAUGUUGGAGACGUAUCAGCAUCCCGAAGCUUAACUCCUACUCGUCCUCGAGUAGGUAAGUGAUAAAAACACAAUUUUUGAUGUGAAAUGCUGCCUAACAUGUCAUAUCAUAUUCUUUCUCUUUAUAGAAUGGAUAUUUGGAAUUUUAUGUGAUUCAAAGCAAUAGUCUAGUUUUGACAUAAUAAUUUAGAUAUUCAAGCAUAUCAACAAGCAACCAUGUCUUUCAAAAUAUCAACGCUAAAAUAACUUAUCCCUAGCCCAUCGUGCUCAACCAUUGAUCCAUUCAUGAAACACAUUCGCAUAUUAGCUACACCCAAUACUUAAGUAUGAUCAUAUUGCCUCCUAGUUGGUGCUUUUCUAAGAGAGGAUGGAGACUCAAAUUCAAAAAUAAAAAUUGCAUAAAGUAAAAGAAAGGCCCUUCGCAGAGGGAAGUAGGGAUUUGUAGAGGUGCCAGAGCUCAAAGCGAAAAACUUAGAGAUAAAAACAUUUUGGGAGGUGUAUCCAUCCCACCAACGAAAACAACUUAGAGUUCCCAACACUUUCCAUGCUAGAUAUGCCAUAGGAGGUUCCCAAACAGAAAAUAAAGUUUAUUCCAUUUUCUACCAUACUUUCACUUUCCAUGGCUAACCGUAUCCACGGGUGCCCUCCAUACCAACACUUUCCAAGGAAUUUAUUAUUUGACAACAUAAAGUAAUUUUUUUUUCUUUUUCAAUUCGGGACUUGGCAUCCCUAAAACCUUUGCCUUACUCUCGUGCAAUGACAAGUGAACAAACACUCAUCGUGAGAAUAACACAUCCAGCAUGGGAAAUAUUAGCCACCCCUCACCGUUCCGCGAGCGAAACGAACACAAAAAAGAGAAGUUUAUUUUGAAAAUUAGAGAUGGCACAUACAAAUUUGCUUAGAACGGCAAAAGAAUACCGCAUAUAGGGGUAGGUAUAGUGGACUCAUGUGGCAAAAACUGGGUUUAAGGAUUUGGAUGCACAAGUAGAGCUCAUACUUAGUGCAAAAUGAAGGCUAGCAAGAGACUGGGAAGCGACCAACCAAGAAAUGAAUAAUCUCAUAAGCAAGCAUUAAGCAUAAUUAACACCGAAUAAUGCACCACAAGUAGGAUGUAAUUUCAUUGCAUGACUAUUGACUUUCGUGCUUGCAUACGGAAUCACAAACCUUAACACCAAUAUUCUUACUAAAGCAUAAUUACUCAUCAACAUAACUCACAUAUCACAUCAUCAUAUCUCAAAACUACUACUAAGAAUCAAGUUUAUUUUGUUCAAUGAUCUUCAUGAAUGUUUUUAUUAUAUCCUUCUUGGAUAUCAAUCACUUUGGGACUAAUUUUCAUGUGUUGCUUUUGAUAAGCUCAAACAAAUAUAAGUGAAGAUCAUGAGCAUAAUUUUUUCCUUUCUCUCAAAAUAAAUUAAGUGAAGCAAGAGAUAAUUUAUUCAAAAAAAAUUACUAACUCUCAAAUAGAUCUAAGUGAAGCAAGAGAGCAUUUCUUCAAAAAUACUAAAGCACACCGUGCUCAAAAAGAUAUAAGUUAAGCACUAGAGCAAGUCUAUAGCUCAUAAAAAUUUAAGUGAAGCAUAGAGAGCAAUUCUAACAAGUCAUGACAUAAUUUUGGCUCUCUCAAAUAGGUGUGUCCAGCAAGGAUUGAUGACUCAAAACACAAAGGAAAACAAACAAAGACUCAAAUCAUACAAGACGCUCCAAGAAAAACACAUAUCAUGUGACGAAUAAAAAUAUAGCUUUGAGUAAAAUACCGAUGGUUGUUAGAAGAAAGAGGGGAUGCCACUCCGGGGCAUCCCCAAGCAUAGUUGGUUGCUCAUUUUUGGAUAAUAGAUUGGGAUGCCGGGGCAUCCCCAAGCUUAGGCUCUUCUAUCCUUCCUUCAUCCAUUGUAAGAUAACCCAAAACUUGAAAACUUCAAUCACACAAAACUCAACAAAACCUUCGUGAGAUCCGUUAGUAUAAGAAAACAAACCACUACUAUAAGUACUGUGUCAAACCAAUUCAUAUUUUUUGCAUUAUACCUAUUGUAUUCCAACUUUUCUAUGGCAAAAACUCAUCAAAGAAAACCAUAGAGCCAUCAAAAUAAGCACACAACGCAAAGAAAACAGAAUCUGUCAAAACAGAACAGUCUGUAGCAAUCUGAAUUGUUCGAAUACUUCUGUAAUCUACAAAUUCUGAAAAAUUAGGAUGACCUACGAAAAUUGUAUAUCAAUCUUCUGUAAAAAAAUUCAGAUCAAAAUCACAUUUCUAUGAUUUACUAAAAUGGUUUUCGUGAGCGCAUAAGUUCCUGUUUUUUCAGCAAGAUCAAACAACUAUCACCCAACAAGAUCCUAAAGGCUUUACUUGGCACAAACACUAAUUAAAACAAAAAAACACAAUCAUAACAGUAGCAUAAUUGUGUUAACACACAAGAACAGAAAGCAAAAAGCAAAAAUAAAUUUUAUUCAUUGGGUUGCCUCCCAACAAGCGCUAUAGUUUUACGCCCCUAGCUAGGCAUAAGAUUUCAACGAUGCUCACACGAAAGAUAAGAAUUGAAACACAAAGAGAGAAUCAUGAAACAUAUGACAAACACAUUUAAGUCUAACAUACUUCCUAUGCAUAGAAAUUUUAUAAGCAAACAAAUUAUCAAUACAAGAAACAUCUAACAUAUGCAAAGAAGAGGAAUAAAACAUUGACGAUCUCAACAUAACGAGAGGUAAUUUAGUCACAUUAAAGUUCCUACAACCAUAUUUCCCUCUCUCAUAAUAAUUACAUGUAGGAUCAUACUCAAAUUCAACAAUAUAGCUAUCAUAAACAGUAUUCUCUUUAUGAUCCACAUGCAUAAAAAGUUGACACUCUUCCAAAACAGUGGGAUUAUUUUUAGCUAAAGUUGACACUCUUCCAAACCCACUUUUACUAUUGUCGCAAGCAUAUUCAUCACAAGGUUUAAAUAAAUUUUCAAGAUCAUAAGAAUCAUUAUCACCCCAGUCAUGAUCAUUGCAAUAAGUAGUGGACAUAGCAAAACAAGCAUCCCCAAGCUUGGGGUUUGGCAUAUUACUAACACAAUUGACAUUAAUAGAAUUUAUAGUAAAAUCAUUGCAAUCAUGCUUUUCAUUCAAGGAGCUAUCAUGAAUGACUUCAUAAAUUUCUCCAUCACAAUUUUUAGAUUCACGAAUCUCAAGCAAAACUUCAUAAAGAUAAUCUAGUGCACUCAAAUCACUAGCAAUUGGCUCAUCAUAAUUGGAUCUUUUGAAAAGAUUAGCAAGUGGAUGAGGAUCCAUAACAAUAGAUUUUUAGCAAGCAAAUAUGCAGGCAAAUAAAAGGCACAAGGUAACACGAGCAAACAUGAGAUCUGACGAGAAAAAGGCAAACGAAAAAGAAGGCGAAUAAAACGUCAAAUUUUUGGGAAAUGGGGGAGAGGCAAAUGGCAAAUAAUGUAAAUUGCGAAGAGAUGAGAUUUGUGAUUAGUAACCUGGUAUAUGUUGAAGAUCCUCCCCGGCAACGCCACCAGAAAGGCACGUGGCCGGGACACUAUCUUGACAUGAUCUUCCCCGGCAACGGCGCCGGAAAUUCCUUUUGAUGUCGCUUACAUCGGUAUUUCCCCAAAGAGGAAGGGAUGAUGCAGCACAACGGCGGUAGGUAUUCCCCUCAGUGAAGAAACCAAGGUUAUCGAACUAGUAGGAGAACCAAGCAACACAACGUAAUCAGCAGUUGCACACAAAUAACAACACCUCGCAACCCGACGUAAGAGAGGGGUUGUCAAUCCCUCACGGGUAAAAAGAUAGAUAGUUUUGUAGUAAUUUGGAUAAAUACAUCUCGCGGGAACGCGAGAUAAAAUAAUUAAUAAAAAAGUGCAGCAAGGUAUUUUUGUAUUUUUGGUUCAAUAGAUCUAAAAAUAAAUGCAAAGGAAUAUUAGAUCGCAAAGGCAAAUAUGUGAGAAAGAGACCCGGGGGCCGUAGAUUUCACUAGUGGCUUCUCUCGAGAAAAAUAGCAAACGGUGGGUAAACAAAUUACUCUUGGGAAAUUGAUUGAACUCCAAAUAAUAAUGACGAUAUCCAGGCAAUGAUCAUUAUAUAGGCAUCAUGUCCAAGAUUAGUAGACCAACUCCUGCCUAUAUCUACUACUAUUACUCCACACAUCGACCGCUAUCCAGCAUGCAUCUAGUGUAUUAAGUUCAUGGAGAAACGGAGUAAUGCAAUAAGAACGAUGACAUGAUGUAGACAAGAUCUAUCUAUGUAGAGAUAGACCCUAUCGUUUUAUCCUUAGUAGCAAUGAUACAUACGUGUCGUUUCCCUUUCUGUCACUGGGAUCAAGCACCGUAAGAUCGAACCCACUACCGGGCACCUCUUCCCAUUGCAAGACAAAUAGAUCAAGUUGGACAAGCAAAACCCAAAUAUCGGAGAAGAAAUACGAGGCUAUAAGAGAUCAUGCAUAUAAGAGAUCAACGAAACUCAAAUAACUUUCAUGGAUAUAAAAAGAUAGAUCUGAUCAUAAACUCAAAGUUCAUCAGAUCCCAACAAACACACCGCAAAAAGAGUUACAUCAUAUGGAUCUCCAAGAGACCAUUGUAUUGAGAAUCAAGAGAGAGAGAGAGAGAUGAAGCCAUCUAGCUACUAACUAAGGACCCGAAGGUCUACAAAGAACUACUCACGCAUCAUCAGAGAGGCACCAAUGGAGGUGGUGAACCCCAUCCGAGAUGGUGUCUAGAUUGGAUCUGGUGGUUCUGGACUCUGCAGCGGCUGGAUGAAUAUUUCGUUGACUCCCCUAGGGUUUCUGGAAUAUUGGGGUAUUUAUAGAGCAAAGAGGCUGUCCGAGGGCCACCCGAGGUGGGCACAACACACCAGGGCGCGCCUGGGCCUCCUGGCGCGCCCUGGUAGGUUGUGCCUCCCUCGGGGCACCCCCAGGCGCAGCCAGGGCUUGUUGUGUUCCUUCUGGCCCAUAAAAAUUCUCCGUAAAGUUUCGGGACAUUUGGACUCUGUUUGAUAUUGAUUUCCGGCGAUGUAAGAAACAUGGAAAAAACAGUAACAGGCACUUGGCACUAUGUCAAUAGGUUAGUACCAAAAAUGAUAUAAAAUGAUUAUAAAACAUCCAAGAUUAAUAAUAUAACAGCAUGGAACAAUCAAAAAUUAUAGAUACGUUGGAGACGUAUCAGCGGUUAUUUGCAAGGAUCAAAUCUCAUAGUGGUAGGUGAUAAGAUAAAUUGAAAAACAAAAUAAAAUAAAUAAAAGUGCAGCAAGGUGUUUUUUCUGUUUUUUAUAUAUGAUAAAAGUAGACCCGGGGGGGCAUAGUGUUCACUAGAGGCUUAUCUCUCAACCACAUAACAUACGGUGGAUGAACAAAUUACUGUUGGGAAAUUGAUAGAAAAUCACAUAAUUAUGACGAUACUCAAGGCAAUGAUUAUGUAUAUAAGCAUCACGUCCGAGACAAGUAGACCCACUCCUGCCUGCAUCUACUACUAUUACUCCACCCAUUGACCGCUAUCCAGCAUGCAUCUAGGGUAUUAAGUUAAUGAAAAUAGAGUAACAUUUUAAGCAAGAUGACAUGAUGUAGACAAAGUAAACCCAAGCAGUAUGAAUAAACCCCACCUUUUAAUCCUUAAUGGUAACAAUACAAAUACGUGUCAUGUCCCUUUGUGUCACUAGGAUUGAGCACCGCAAGAUUGAACCCAUCACAAAGCACCUCCCCCAUUGCAAGAAAAAUCAAUCUAGUUGGCCAAACUAAACAGAUAUAUUGAAGAGAAAUACAAUGCUAUAAUAAUCAUGCAAAAAAGAAUUCAGAAAAGACUGAGAGUGGUGUUUUUGCUCAUAGGUGUAGAUACACCUAUUAUGAAAUAUAUAUAUAUAUAUAUAUAUAUAUAUAUAUAUAUAUAUAUAUAACACAAUUCAAUUUUAAAAAAAUCGAACAAUAAUUUCGCGUGUACAUCCGAACAUUCUAUGUUCGCACAGAAAUUCGCAAAGAACAAACAUUUUUUGUGGCAUGUAUAAAAAGAUUGAAAAAUGUCUCCUGGAUAGUUAUAAUUAAGCAUCGAAAAUUGUCUUUUUUACACAAGCCACAAAAAUUCCCUUUUUUAGCGAAACUUUGUGCACGGACAUAUAAUGUCCGGAUGUACACGCGGGUUUUUUUCUCAUUUUUUUAAUUUUUAAAAUGUGUAUUUAGACAAAGGGUGCAUCUACAUCUAUGAGCCAAAGUGAAUUUCUCAAAAAGACUUAAUUAAUAUUCAUGAAUAAUCUGAUCUUAAACCUACAAUUCAUCUGAUCCCAACAAAGACACGGCCAAAAAAGAUUACAUUGAAUAGAACUCCAAGUACAUUGUAUUGAAGAUCAAAGAGAGACAAGAAACCAUCUAGAUACUAGAUAUGGACCCAUAGGUCUGUGGUAAACUACUCACGCAUCAACGGGAGGCAGCAAGGAUGAUGUAGAAGCCCUCUGUGAGCGAUCGCCCCUCCGACAGAGUGCCAGGAAAGACCUCCAGAUGGGAUCACAUAAGUACAUAAACUUGUGGCGGCGAAAAAAGUGUCUGGGGUGGCUCUCUUUUGGUUUCCCGAUUUUAGAGAAUUUAUAGAGGUGAAAUUAGGUCAUUCGGAGCCACGUGGGGCCCACAAGGCAUCAGGGCGCGCCUACCCCUGGACACGCCCUUUUGCCUUGUCGUCUCCUCGCUUCUCGUCUGGUCUCCUCCCAAAACUUCUAGGGUCUCUCUUGUCUAGAAAAAAUUCGCCAAAAAGUUUCAUAGCGUUUGGACUCCGUUUGAUACUGGUUUACUCGGAAACCAAAAACAAGCAGAAAACAACAACUGGAACUUGGCACUGGGUUAAUAGGUUAGUCCCAGAAAAUGAUAUAAAAUAGAAUGAAAAGUUAUAUAAAACAUCCAAGAUUGAUACUAUAAUAUCAUGGAACAAUAAAAAAUUAUAUAUACGUUGGAGACGUAUCACAUGGCAAUCUCAUCAGGACUGAGUCUGUGGCAUAUAUUCAAUUCAUUCAUGAAAGUGGUUGAAUCAUCAUUCAAUUGCUUAGAGAAUCUAGUGUAGGAGUUGCCUAAUCCGGGCCCAUAUACAUUCACAGCCGCGCCCGGGAGCACCCGCAGACAUUGACCGGGCAUGCAUUAAAAGUACACCUCCACAACCGGAUCCAUCAAACCAAAUCCUCAAAUCCAUACUAGUCGCAUGCAACGUUAAACAUACGUAGUUGCACACAAGUCAUCAAACUACCAACUUUUGACACGUUCUACUUAACUAUGAUUCAUGCAUGGUCUCCCUUGCCCUUGCCGUAUUCCUUGCGGAAGUAACGGUCGAAUAUGCAAAACGAAUCGAGGCGAAUCUGCUCACUGCUUGAGUUGUCCGAUCCGUCGUCAUCCUCGUCCUUCUCCUCCUUAGGAGGUAGUCCGACCAUGGCACGGACCGCCCUGCUUUGCUCUUUUUCCAUUACAUGGAUCAUACUCCUUCGCUACUUCUUGGUGAUGCAGGCAUGGAGGGCUUCCUCCUCGAUGCCCAUGCCGGUGUGUGAUUCCACUGGCUCCGCCUCGCGGCCUUUGCUUCAAGGCGUGCCCAUAGCCUUCUGCGGCAGGCACGCCAUGCCUCCUUCUCGUUUCGUCCCCAAACCAUGGAGGCGGAUAUGGCCUCCAUUUUGGCAGUUGACGACGUGGGCCACCUAAACAGUUCCACAAGCACAAUGGGGUUGCUUUGCCAUGCGGUGGUGGUCACCUCUUCCUGCGAGGCCGCGGCCACAUGUAGUGAUCCACCUGCCCCGACGGAUCCUAGCGCCAUAUAAGAAGAGGCAAUGGAUUCCCACUGGAUCGAUGAAGACCACGGGUGGGUGCACUCCUCCGGAGAGCGUUAGAGAGCAGUGCAGAUGGCCAUCUGCUCCUCGUGACUGCAAGGGAUGAGGUUCCAGUCCUCGGAUCUGGACAUCUCGGAGUCAGAUCUAGUGCCCACCAUGAAGGAGUACAUCGAAGUUCACCAGAGUGAAGUUUGGGCACUGUGGGAGGAGAGUGGAGUGCAACUAGGGUUUCACCCUAAGUUUGGAUAGGAUUGAAUAUAUGUGGGGUUGGGUGGGCCACUAUGGGUCAGAUCUGAUGUGGCGGGCGCGUUCGGGCAUCCUCAUAUCUGCCCUAGAUAUGGUUGGGGUAUGGGGAGUGUCGGUCAGUCUGGGCAUUUCGGUUGGAUUUACUAGGUCCGGUUGGGUGGAAAUUUUGCAUCCAGGCAGUGACGAGGAGGCCUCCCGGGCAUUUGGGGCAGAUAUGGGGCGCCCAGUUGUAGAUUCUCUUACUAAAAAAGCAAAGAAAGGACCUAGCAACAAAUAUCACAUCAUGCACCUUUCUCUUAAGCAAUUGCAAUCCCAAAUCAAAAAUGACCUUUCGGGCAUAUCCUCGAGCAUGUCAGCCUCACUCCUUGUCCCGUCCAAGUUAGGGUUGUCGACGGCUGCCAGAGGUGGAGGGGGUGGGGACGGGGUUGUAGGAGGCGGUGCAAUAGUCGUCGGCACCACGGGAUCACGAAGGGGGAAGUGUCGGGGCGGUUGAACCCUUAUUCUCUUUCUUCUUCUUAUUUCUCGUAGUGUUGUGCCGCCUUGGCUAACGGUCGAUGGUCCUGUUCACUCGGCUAGGGCAAAGGCGGUCGGAAGGUCACAGUGGAGCAAGUGGCGGCAGCCGCCGAUGAUGAACCAUUCUCAAUGACGGUCUUGCCUUGGCGUUGUUGUUUCGUUGGUUGCACUGCCGAAUUUAUGGUUGGCGGUGGGUCUCUGCCACUGGUGAGGUUAGCCGGGUGUGCGAUAGGGGCAUGCUUUCCAUUCCAUCGGUUAUCCAAGUCGGGGACGACAACCAGUGGGGUGAGGUGCGGCGGUGUCAUGGUUUAGCAUGAAAAUUGCGGGCAAGUGGGAGGCAAUAGGGCUUAUCAUGACUAGACUGAAUAUGAACUAGUGUGGGAUGGUUUUGAAAAAAAAUGGGAAAAAGUUAUACAAGGAAUCUCCUACAUAAUUCUUGAGGAGCUUGCUGGUUGGGAAACGUUACGUUUGUAAGCAACAUUACCGAACAAUGUUUAACCCACGUUCCACCAGUUCUUGUAAGCAACAUUACCGAACAAUCUUUAACCCACGUUCCACCAGUUCCUGACCGAUUUUUUCCUUUUUUUCCUUUCUCAUCGUCCGGUUUUAUUUCUCCUUUCCCGCGCGGUCGAUUUUUUUGAAGUGGGUGCUAAAUAGGGUAAAAUACAGAGUACAAAAAGAGCUGAGUUACAUGGGAUUCAAACCCAUGACCAGAGGCUAGGUAUAUGGCAAACUAGGCCGUAGAAAGCACCUCAACUGGUCUUGCUUAUUGUACAAAUAUCAUACUAUUUAAACUUUCUUCUUUCCCUCGACAAAAAUUGAACCUUCUUUACUUGUGUUGAACAUUCUUUCAUUAUGUAGCAACACCACACCAAGUUAAGUGCGAAUCCACGCAUAUAAGACGGUAAAGUGAUAUCAUCAAAUAUUUCAUCAAAACUGAAAAUUCAAAAUAUUUUUUAGCUCAAACCGUCGGUCCGAUUCAAAAUCCAUUUUCACAUAAAAAAUAGUCGCGAUGAGACUUUCGAAAUUAGAUGUCAUACAUUCCGAGAACUUUUUUCAGUUCAAAAAUUACCACGUUGAAAGGGAAUUUCUUGACUUAAGUGUUUUGAUUUUGAUGACAACGCAAUUUAUGGACUAACCGUGUGCUUAAGUUACAUAGGCAUAUGUAAAUGGCACAAGAUGGUUGGGCACCCUCUGGAUGGAAAAGAGCGGAGACAACAUUUUCGACGCUUUUAUUUCUUUGGUCGUAGAAAAUCCAUACUAUUAAGAGCAACUCUAGCAGACCCCGCCUUUUGUCGACCUGUAAACUGUGUUUGCAGGUCGCACGGGGCCGGUUAUGCAGGCCGAAAUUUGCGGCGGCAGACUAGAAACCGCAAACAAACCCCUAAUUUUUAAAAUAAGUUGUUUCACAUGAGAAAUUUAAGCAGCAGCUCGUCGGAGCUCGCUCGCAUAGAUGGUUCUUCUUCGCAUAAUAAGUUCGUACACGCCAUAUACAUACAUAAAGGUCAGAGAUGCUAGACAGGGCCUACGCUACCACACCACUACAACAAAAUUGAGCUCACCGGAGCUCCUGCGGUAGCUGCCCACCGGCGGCGAUCAGUUGGAGUCGGAGUCGACCUCGAUGUAGAGCUUCGCCUGCUCCGCCUUCAUCACGCGCAGGUCAGCCUCCUUCGAUGCGUGCGCCUGCGAUGCCGUGAGGCCCGUCUCGAGGAAGAGCCGCUCGUACUCGAGCUCGCGCUGUAUGCGCUCUUCCAUCUCCUCCGGAUCCCUCGCCGACCGCUCGAGGACGACGCGCUCGAGGAGCUCCUCCUGCCCCGGUGGGAGGGAGUCCUCGGGUCCGAUGACGCCUCGGCGCGGCGGCGCAUCGGGCACGGCCUCCUCCGGCUCCCACUUCACCGGAACGAGCCGGGAGCUUGAUGCGCCCGCGGAUGAGCACCCCGCGGAACCGUGGAUGGAUGAGCUCCCUGCGGACCAGUUGCCGGAGGAGGCGCGGCGGCGACGGGCGCGCUCGAGUUCGAACUCGUCGAGCUCGCGUCGGUUGAAUGCCGGUGGCGGCCGGGCACCGUGGUUGAGCCACUGACGCGCCCCCCGCUUGCGCGCGGCGACAGAUCUGGCGCGGCGGCGGCGCUCCGCCUCAUCCCCCGAGUCGGCCAUGGUGGUUCAGGGCUCGCCUCCGGCGAGAAAUCGAGCGGCGCGGUGGGGAAUUGGAGGGGAACGCGGCUGCGGGGGGAUAGGGUUUCGACCCGCAUCUGCCCCGCAAACCCGUAGUUAUAGUGACUCGGGGGUUGCGUUUACGGGCUGCGGCAAAAAUAUUUACGGACCGGACACCGAUGCGGGCUCUGGUCUGGCCAGAAAAAUGGGCCGAGCCCGUAUAAUCGCCGGAAUUAUGCGGGUUUGCGCCGGAUGCGGGGUCUGCUAGAGUUGCUCUAAGAGGGGCUCUACAUCGAAAUGUACGGGUGGAAUCAAAUCACGUACACCUAUACAUAUUAUAUCCACCAUAUCUACCUUCCAUUUCGAGGAGAGAUCCUCAAUUUCGACUAUGCAAGAAAAUGCACUCAAGUGGUUGUACCGCUGAUGCUUGGUUGUACCGCUCCCUUGUGGACUGGGUAAAUGCAGGCCAAGCUAGGCGGUUGUAUUGGCCACAUGGGCGGUUGUACUGCUACCUCCCCUGGUGCGGCACCGAAGGCCCUCGUACUGGGCCAACUACCACCCAAGGGGGUCUCCCUUCGGGUUUGGCCAGCGGCACAGGGUGGUGCCGUAGCGGUUGUACCGAUUAUUACGCUAAUAAAUGGUACAACUGGUGGUGACGGCGGUUGUACUGCUUGACCCACCAGAAACACUCCUGCCUUGCGCGGUUGUACCGCCCAGCUUAGUGUUGUACUACGCAGCUGAGCAGUUGUACCUCUCAGUCCUGGUAGAUGGCUCAUGGGACUUCGGGUGGUUGUACCGCUCUCUAGAGCAGGUGUACCGCUCCCAUGUGUUUUUCUGCAUAAUGGUUGUGUUUGAUGAGGGACUAUUUAAGGAGGUGGAUCUUCCACCUCCCACCUACGUCUUGGUCUUCUUCUCUACUCCAUUAAUGCCCUAAGCUCUAUUUUUCCUAAUUUCUUUCUCUAGCCAAUCAAACUUAUUGAUUUGCUAGGGAUUGAGAGAGGAGGUCUAGAUCUACGUAUCCACCAAAAGAGAUUUGAUUCUGCCAUAUAUUUCUUGUGGGUUUUAUUACUCUUGGGUGUUUGAGCACCCUAGAUGAAAAAUGUCAUCUUGGAGCCACGAUCCAUUGUGGUGAAGCUUUGUGGUGAUGUUGGGAGCCUCCAAUUAAGUUGUGGAAAGAGCACCAAUCUUAUUUGUAAAGUUUACAGUUGUCGCCUUUAAGGGCACCGCUAGUGGAUUCGAGAAACCUUGCAUUGUGUGAGGGCGUGAGGAUAAUAAGGUGAAUCCUUGGGGCAUUGUGCCUCCACACCCCUCCAACAGAGGCGUACGUGGAGAGAAUUUCGGAAACACAUCCUCGUCUUCAUCAUCUCCACUUGCGGUUAUCUCGUUCCUUUACUUUGAGCAAGCUUCUAUCUUGUGUUUACUCUUGAUUGCUUGUGUUUCUUGUUGUGCUUGCCAUAUAGGUUAUCCACCUAGUUGCAUAUCUAUACAACCUAUCUUCAUUAUUGCGCCUAAAAUAUCUGGGAACAAAGUUAAAUAUUGUUAGUCGCCUAUUCAACUCCCCUUCUAGUCAACCAUACCAAUUGUUUCAUACGUCUAGGCUAAAUAAGGUGUCGCGCGUGCAGUGCAUACAUUACCAUGGUAUUACGUGAAGGAAAUAUGCCCUAGAGGCAAUAAUAAAUUUGUUAUUUAUAUUUCCUUAUAUCAUGAUAAAUGUUUAUUGUUCAUGCUAGAAUUGUAUUAACCGGAAACUUAGUACAUGUGUGAAUACAUUGACAAACAGAGUGUCACUAGUAUGCCUCUACUUGACUAGUUCGUUAAUCAAAGAUGGUUAAGUUUCCUAGCCAUGGACAAAGAGUUGUCAUUUGAUAAACGGGAUCACAUCAUUAUAAGCCUCUACUUGACAACGUAACUGGGUGAUUAUAAAGGUGCUCUACAGGUAUCUCCGAUGGUACUUGUUGAGUUGGCAUAGAUCGAGAUUAGGAUUUGUCACUUCGAUCGUCGGAGAGGUAUCUCUGGGCCCUCUCGGUAAUGCACAUCACUAUAAGCCUUGCAAGCAAUGUGACUAAUGAGUUAGUUGCAGGAUGAUCCAUUACGGAACGAUUAAAGAGACUUGCCGGUAACGAGAUUGAACUAGGUACUGAGAUACCGAAGAUCGAAUCUCGGGCAAGUAACAUACCGAUGACAAAGGGAACAGCGUAUGUUGUUAUGCGGUUUGACCGAUAAAGAUCUUCGUAGAAUAUGUAGGAACCAAUAUGAGCAUCCAGGUUCCGCUAUUGGUUAUUGACCGGAGACGUGUCUCGGUCAUGUCUACAUAGUUCUCGAACCCGUAGGGUCCGCACGCUUAACGUUCGGUGACGAUCGGUAUUAUGAGUUAAUGUAUUCUGAUAUACCGAAGAUAGUUCGGAGUCCCGGAUGUGAUCAUGGACAUGACGAGGAGUCUCGAAAUGGUCGAGACAUAAACAUUGAUAUAUUGGACGACUAUAUUCGGACACCGGAAGUGUUCCGGGAGAUUUCGGAGAAAACAGGAGUGCCGGAGGGGUUACCGGAACCCCCAAGGGAAGUAUUGGGCCUUAGUGGGCCUUAGGGGAGAGAGAGGGCAGCAGCCCAGGAGGUGGCGCCCCCCCUCCCAAGGGGAGUCCGAAUUGGACUAGGGGAGGGGGCGCGGCCCCUCUUUCCCUCUCCCUCUCCCUCUCCUUCCUUCCCCCUUCCUCCUUCCUAGUUGGACUAGGAAAGGGGAGUCCUACUCCCACUAGGAGGAGGAAUCCCCCCUCUCCUUGGCACGCCCCAAGGCCGGCCGGCCUUCCCCCUUGCUCCUUUAUAUACGGGGGCAGGGGGCACCCUAGGACACACAAGUUGAUUGUUCCAAGCCGUGUGCGGUGCCCCCCUCCACCAUAUUCCACCUCGGUCAUAUCGUUGCAGUGCUUAGGCGAAGCCCUGCGCCGGUAGCUUCAUCAUCACCGUCAUCACGCCACCGUGCUGACGAAGCUCUCCCUCGAAGCUCUACUGGAUCGUGAGUUCGUGGGACGUCACCGAACCGAACGUGUGCAGAUCGCAGAGGUGCUGUACGUUCGGUACUAGGAUCGGUCGAUCGUGAAGACGUAUGACUACAUCAACCGCGUUGUCAUAACGCUUUUGCUUACGGUCUACGAGGGUACGUGGACAACACCCCUCUCGUUGCUAUGCAUCACCAUGAUCUUGCGUGUGCGUAGGAAUUUUUUUGAAAUUACUACGUUCCCCAACAGUGGCAUGCGAGCCAGGUUUAUGCGUGGAUGUUAUAUGCACGAGUAGAACACAAGUGAGUUGUGGGCGAUAUUAGUCAUACUGCUUACCAGCAUGUCAUACUUUGAUUCGGCGGUAUUAUUGGAUGAAGCGGCCCGGACCGACAUUACGCGUACGCUUACGCGAGACUGGUUCUACUGACGUGCUUCGCACACAGGUGGCUGGCGGGUGUCAGUUUCUCCAACUUUAGUUGAAUCGAGUGUGGAUACGCCCGGUCCUUGUGAAGGUUAAAACAGCACAUACUUGACGAAAUAUCGUUGUGGUUUUGAUGCGUAGGUAAGAACGGUUCUUGCUCAGCCCGUAGCAGCCACGUAAAACUUCCAACAACAAAGUAGAGGACGUCUAACUUGUUUUUGCAGGGCAUGUUGUGAUAUGAUAUGGUCAACACAUGAUGCUAAAUUUUAUUGUAUGAGAUGAUCAUGUUUUGUAACGGGGUUAUCGGCAACUGGCAGGAGCCAUAUGGUUGUCGCUUUAUUGUAUGAAAUGCAAUCGCCAUGUAAUUGGUUUACUUUAUCACUAAGCGGUAGCGAUAGUCAUAGAAGCAAUAGUUGGCGAGACGACAACGAAUGCUACGAUGGAGAUCAAGGUGUCGCACCGGUGACGAUGGUGAUCAUGACAGUGCUUUGGAGAUGGAGAUCAAAGGCACAAGAUGAUGAUGGCCAUAUCAUAUCACUUAUAUUGAUUGCAUGUGAUGUUUACCUUUUAUGCAUCUUAUUUUGCUUAGUUUGACGGUAGCAUUAUAAGAUGAUCUCUCACUAAAUUUCAAGGUAUAAGUGUUCUCCCUGAGUAUGCACCGUUGCGAAAGUUCGUCGUGCCGAGACACCACGUGAUGAUCGGGUGUGAUAAGCUCUACGUUCACAUACAACAGGUGCAAGCCAAUUUUGCACAUGCAGAAUACUCAGGUUAAACUUGACGAGCCUAGCAUAUGCAGAUAUGGCCUUGGAACACUGAGACCGAAAGGUCUAGCGUGAAUCAUAUAGUAGAUAUGAUCAACAUAGUGAUGUUCACCAUUGAAAACUACUCCAUCUCACGUGAUGAUCGGACAUGGUUUAGUUGAUAUGGAUCACGUGAUCACUUAGAUGAUUAGAGGGAUGUCUAUCUAAGUGGGAGUUCUUAAGCAAUAUGAUUAAUUGAACUUUAAUUUAUCAUGAACUUAGUACCUGAUAGUAUUUUGCAUGUCUAUGUUGUUGUAGAUAGAUAGCCCGUGAUAUUGUUCCGUUGAAUUUUAAUGCGUUCCUAGAGAAAGCUAAGUUGAAAGAUGAUGGUAGCAACUACACGGACUGGGUCCGUAACUUGAGGAUUAUCCUCAUUGCUGCAUAGAAGAAUUACGUCCUGGAAGCACCGCUAGGUGCCAAACCCGCUGCAGGAGCAACGCCAGAUGUUAUGAAUGUCUGGCAGAGCAAAGCUGAUGACUACUCGAUAGUUCAGUGUGCCAUGCUUUACGGCUUAGAACCGGGACUUCAACGACGUUUUGAACGUCAUGGAGCAUAUGAGAUGUUCCAGGAGUUAAAAUUAAUAUUUGAAGCAAAUGCCCAGAUUGAGAGAUAUGAAGUCUCCAAUAAGUUCUACAGCAGCAAGAUGGAGGAGAAUAGUUCUGUCAGUGAGCAUAUACUCAAAAUGUCUGGGUAUAACAAUCACUUGAUUCAACUGGGAGUUAAUCUUCCGAAUGAUAGUGUCAUUGACAGAAUUCUUCAAUCACUGCCACCAAGCUACAAGAGCUUCGUGAUGAACUAUAACAUGCAAGGGAUGGAUAAGACAAUUCCCGAGCUCUUCGCGAUGCUAAAGGCUGCGGAGGUAGAAAUCAAGAAGGAGCAUCAAGUGUUGAUGGUCAACAAGAUCACCAGUUUCAAGAAAGGGCAAAAAGGGAAGAAGGGGAACUUCAAGAAGAACAACAAGGUAGUUGCUGCUCAAGUGAAGAAGCCCAAGUCUGGACCUAAGCCUGAGACUGAGUGCUUCUACUUCAAAGGGACUGGUCACUGGAAGCGGAACUGCCCCAAGUAUUUGGCGGAUAAGAAGGAUGGCAAGGUGAACAAAGGUAUAUGUGAUAUACAUGUUAUUGAUGUGUACCUUACUAAUGCUCGCAGUAGUGCCUGGGUAUUUGAUACUGGUUCUGUUGCUAAUAUUUGCAACUCGAAACAGGGACUACGGAUUAAGCGAAGAUUGGCUAAGGACGAGGUGACGAUGCGCGUGGGAAAUGGUUCCAAAGUCGAUGUGAUCGCGGUCGGCACGCUAUCUCUACAUCUACCUUCAGGAUUAGUUUUAGACCUGCAUAAUUGUUAUUUGGUGCCAGCGUUGAGCAUGAACAUUAUAUCUGGAUCUUGUUUGAUGCCAGACGGUUAUUCAUUUAAAUCAGAGAAUAAUGGUUGUUCUAUUUAUAUGAGUAAUAUCUUUUAUGGUCAUGCACCCUUGAAGAGUGGUCUAUUUAUAUUGCAUCUCAAAAGUAGUGAUACACAUAUUCAUAAUAUUGAAGCCAAAAGAUGCAGAGUUGAUAAUGAUAGUGCAACUUAUUUGUGGCACUGCCGUUUAGGUCAUAUUGGUGUAAAGCGCAUGAAGAAACUCCAUUCUGAUGGACUUUUGGAAUCACUUGAUUAUGAAUCACUUGGUACUUGCGAACCAUGCCUCAUGGGCAAGAUGACUAAAACGCCGUUCUCCGGAACAAUGGAGCGAGCAACAGAUUUGUUGGAAAUCAUACAUACUGAUGUAUGUGGUCUGAUGAAUGUUGAGGCUCGCGGCGGGUAUCGUUAUUUUCUCACAUUCACAGAUAAUUUGAGCAGAUAUGGGUAUAUCUACUUGAUGAAACAUAAGUCUGAAACAUUUGAAAAGUUCAAAGAAUUUCAUAGUGAAGUGGAAAAUCAUCGUAACAAAAAAAUAAAGUUUCUACGACCUGAUCGUGGAGGAGAAUAUUUGAGUUACGAGUUUGGUCUUUAUUUGAAACAAUGCGGAAUAGUUUCGCAACUCACGCCCCCAGAACACCACAGCGUAAUGGUGUGUCCGAACGUCGUAAUCGUACUUUUACUAGAUAUGUUGCGAUCUAUGAUGUCUCUUACUGAUUUACCGCUAUCGUUUAGGGGUUAUGCUUUAGAGACGGUUGCAUUCACGUUAAAUAGGGCACCAUCUAAAUCCGUUGAGACGACGCCUUAUGAACUAUGGUUUGGUAAGAAACCAAAGUUGUCGUUUCUUAAAGUUUGGGGCUGCGAUGCUUAUGUGAGAAAGCUUCAACCUGAUAAGCUCGAACCCAAAUCGGAGAAAUGUGUCUUCAUAGGAUACCCAAAAGAGAUUGUUGGGUACACCUAUCACAGAUCCGAAGGCAAGAUAUUUGUUGCUAAGAAUGGAUCCUUUCUAGAGAAGGAGUUUCUCUCGAAAGAAGUGAGUGGGAGGAAAGUAGAACUUGAUGAGGUAACUGCACCUACUCCCUUAUUAGAAAGUAGUUCAUCACAGAAAUUUGUUCCUGUGACUCCUACACCAAUUAGUGAGGAAGCUAAUGAUGAUGAUUAUGUAACUUCAGAUCAAGUUACUACUGAACCUCGUAGGUCAAGCACAGUAAGGUCCGCACCAGAGUGGUACGGUAAUCCUAUUCUGGAGGUCAUGUUACUUGAUCAUGAUGAACCUACGAACUAUGAGGAAGCGAUGAUGAGCCCAGAUUCCGCAAAAUGGCUUGAGGCCAUGAAAUCUGAGAUGGGAUCCAUGUAUGAGAACAAAGUGUGGACUUUGGUUGACUUGCCCGACGAUCGGCAAGCCAUCGAGAAUAAAUGAAUCUUCAAGAAGAAGACAGACGCUGACGGUAAUGUUACUGUCUACAAAGCUAGACUUGUUGCGAAAGGUUUUCGACAAGUUCAAGGAGUUGACUACGAUGAGACCUUCUCACCCGUAGCGAUGCUUAAGUCCGUCUGAAUCAUGUUAGCAAUUGCCACAUUUUAUGAUUAUGAAAUUUGGCAAAUGGAUGUAAAGACUGCAUUCCUGAUGAUUUUUCGAAGAAGAGUUGUCUAUGAUACAACCUGAAGGUUUAAUCGAUCCAAAGGAUGCUAACAAAGUAUGCAAGCUCCAGCGAUCCAUUUAUGGACUGGUGCAAGCAUCUCGGAGUUGGAAUAAAUGUUUUGAUAGUGUGAUCAAAGCAUAUGAUUUUAUACAGACUUUUGGAGAAGCCUGUAUUUACAAGAAAGUGAGUGGGAGCUCUGUAGCAUUUCUAAUAUUAUAUGUGGAUGACAUAUUGUUGAUUGGAAAUGAUAUAGAAUUUCUGGAUAACAUAAAAGGAUACUUCAAUAAGAGUUUUUCAAUGAAAGACCUCGGUGAAGCUGCUUAUAUAUUGGGCAUCAAGAUCUAUAGAGAUAGAUCAAGAAGCUUAAUUGGACUUUCACAAAGCACAUACCUUGAUAAAGUUUUGAAGAAGUUCAAAAUGGAUCAAGUAAAGAAAGGGUUCUUGCCUGUGUUACAAGGUGUGAAGUUGAGUCAGACUCAAUGCCCGACCACUGCAGAAGAUAGAGAGAAAAUGAAAGGUGUUCCCUAUGCUUCAGCCAUAGGCUCUAUCAUGUAUGCAAUGUUGUGUACCAGAUCUGAUGUGUGCCUUGCUAUUAAUUUAGUAGGGAGGUACCAAAGUAAUCCAGGAGUGGAUCACUGGACAGCGGUCAAGAACAUCCUGAAAUACCUGAAAAGGACUAAGGAUAUGUUUCUCGUUUAUGGAGGUGACAAAGAGCUCGUUGUAAAUGGUUACGUCGAUGCAAGCUUUGACACUGAUCCGGAUGACUCUAAGUCACAAACCGGAUACGUGUUUAUAUUGAACGGUGGAGCUGUCAGUUGGUGCAGUUCUAAGCAAAGCGUCGUGGCGGGAUCUACGUGUGAAGCGGAGUACAUAGCUGCUUCGGAAGCAGCAAAUGAAGGAGUCUAGAUGAAGGAGUUCAUAUCCGAUCUAGGUGUCAUACCUAGUGCAUCGGGUCCAAUGAAAAUCUUUUGUGACAAUACUGGUGCAAUUGCCUUGGCAAAGGAAUCCCGAUUUCACAAGAGAACUAAGCACAUCAAGAGACGCUUCAAUUCCAUCCGCGAUCAAGUCAAGGAGGGAAACAUUGUGCACUGCUGUGUACUGCAUAAAUUCAACUCCCCUUCUAGUCAACCAUACCAAUUCUUUCAUACGUCUAGGCUAAAUAAGGUGUCACGCGUGCAGUGCAUAAAUUACCAUGGUAUUACGUGAAGGAAAUAUGCCCUAGAGGCAAUAAUAAAUUUGUUAUUUAUAUUUCCUUAUAUCAUGAUAAAUGUUUAUUAUUCAUGCUAGAAUUGUAUUAACCGGAAACUUAGUACAUGUGUGAAUACAUAGACAAACAGAGUGUCACUAGUAUGCCUCUACUAGACUAGCUCGUUGAAUCAAAGAUGGUUAAGUUUCCUAACCAUAGACAUGAGUUGUCAUUUGAUUAACGGGAUCACAUCAUUAGAGAAUGAUGUGAUUGACUUGACCCAUUCCGUUAGCUUAGCACUUGAUCGUUUAGUAUAUUGCUAUUGCUUUCUUCAUGACUUAUACAUGUUCCUAUGACUAUGAGAUUAUGCAACUCCCGAGUACCGGAGGAACACUUUGUGUGCUACCAAACGUCACAACGUAACUGGGUGAUUAUAAAGGUGCUCUACAGGUGUCUCCGAUGGUACUUGUUGAGUUGGCAUAGAUCGAGAUUAGGAUUUUUCACUCUGAUUGUCGGAGAGGUAUCUCUGGGCCCUCUCGGUAAUGCACAUCACUAUAAGCCUUGCAAGCAAUGUGACUAAUGAGUUAGUUGCGGGAUGAUCCAUUACGGAACGAUUAAAGAGACUUGCCGGUAACGAGAUUGAACUAGGUAUUGAGAUACCGAAGAUCGAAUCUCGGGCAAGUAACAUACCGAUGACAAAGGGAACAGCGUAUGUUGUUAUGCGGUUUGACCGAUAAAGAUCUUCGUAGAAUAUGUAGGAACCAAUAUGAGCAUCCAGGUUCCGCUAUUGGUUAUUGACCGGAGACGUGUCUCGGUCAUGUCUACAUAGUUCUCGAACCCGUAGGGUCCGCACGCUUAACGUUCGGUGACGAUCGGUAUUAUGAGUUAAUGUGUUUUGAUGUAACGAAGAAAGUUCGGAGUCCCGGAUGUGAUCACGGACAUGACGAGGAGUCUCGAAAUGGUCGAGACAUAAACAUUGAUAUAUUGGACGAUUAUAUUCGGACACCGGAAGUGUUCCGGGUGAUUUCAGAGAAAACCGGAGUGCCGGAGGGGUUACCGGAACCCCCAAGGGAAGUAUUGGGCCUUAGUGGGCCUUAGGGGAGAUAGAGGGCAGCAGCCCAGGAGGUGGCGCCCCCCCUCCCAAGGGGAGUCCGAAUUGGACUAGGGGAGGGGGCGCGGCCCCUCUUUCCCUCUCCCUCUCCCUCUCCUUCCUUCCCCCUUCCUCCUUCCUAGUUGGACUAGGAAAAGGGAGUCCUACUCCCACCAGGAGGAGGACUCCCCCCUCUCCUUGGCGCGCCCCAAGGCCGGCCGGCCUCCCCCCUUGCUCCUUUAUAUACGGGGGCAGGGGGCACCCUAGGACACACAAGUUGAUUGUUCCAAGCCGUGUGCGGUGCCCCCCUCCACCAUAUUUCACCUCGGUCAUAUCGUUGCAGUGCUUAGGCGAAGCCCUGCGCCGGUAGCUUCAUCAUCACCGUCAUCACGUCACCGUGCUGACGAAGCUCUCCCUCGAAGCACUACUGGAUCGUGAGUUCGUGGGACGUCACCGAGCCGAACGUGUGCAGAUCGCGGAGGUGCCGUAUGUUCGGUGCUAGGAUCGGUCGAUCGUGAAGACGUACGACUACAUCGACCGUGUUGUCAUAACGCUUUCGCUUAUGGUCUACGAGGGUACGUGGACAACACUCUCACCUCUCAUUGCUAUGCAUCACCAUGAUCUUGCGUGUGUGUAGGAAUUUUUUUGAAAUUACUACGUUCCCCAACAUUACGCAUAAGCUACCGGGGUAUGUUUUCAACAACUAUUUCCCUCGGGUCAAAGUUACCCCAUAGUUUGUACCUAAGUUAUCAUGUACGCGGUACAUAUAUUACCAGGCUAUUUACACAGAAGUGACCGGGGUGUGUUUUCAGCAACUUCUUUUCCUCGUGUGAAAGUUAUCGCGGUGUUUUGUACUUAAGUUAUCAUGUUUGUGGUGCGUAAAUCAGCAUGCUAUAUACAGAUAAGUUGUUGGGGGUAUGUUUUCAGAUCUAUGGUGUGUAAAUUAUCAUGCUAUUUACACAGAUGUUAUCAGAUGAUAUGUUAUCAAUAACCACCCCCCCCCCCUUCCCCAUCCAGGUAAAAAAAAUUACUGCAGUGUUUUUACAUAAAUUAUCACAAUUGCGGCGCGUAUAUUACCAUUCUAUUUGCACAAAGGUUGUCGGAGUAUGUUUUUCAACAACUUUUUUCCCGGGGUGAAAUAGCUACCAUGAUGUUAGUACGUGAGGCAUCAACUUUCUUAUGCGUAAAUUAAUAUGCUAUUAACAAAAAGUUACUGCCCGGGUCGAAAAGUUAUCGCGAUGUUUGGUCAUAAGUUAUCAUGCCUACAGAGUAUAUAUUAUCAUACAAUUUGAACAAAAGUUACCAGGUUAUGGUUUUGAACAACACUUUCUCGGGCCAAAAGUUAUUGUGAUAUUUAUACAUGAGUUACCAGUUCUAUUAUGAGUAUAUAACAUUUUAUUUACAUAAAAAUUACCGAAGGUUACGUUUUUCAAUAACUUUUUCCUCAAGUAAAAAAUUACAGUGGUACUUGUAAGCAUGACAGCACUGGUGGAGCUUUAGCCAGGCCAAAUGGGCCAUGGCCCGCCCAGCAUAUAGGGAAAAUACGAAAUCACUAGUUAAGGAGUACUCGUUGCAAAGAUAACCCCAACUGCUCAGGUUGCGACAAGUGGCGCACAUGCAGCGCGCCACUUGUCGCAACCUGGGAGUUUUCCCUUUUUUCGUGCAUCCGUUUAUUCAAAACGUUUUAUCUCUCAAACCGUGCAUCCAAAUCUCGAACCGCUUUCACCGUUGGAUUCCUCGCGUCGAGAUCUUUAAAACUAGAUCCCAUGUUGAUAGAUUUUGACGAACUUUUUUUUCACGAAAAAACCAGACGGAAAAAAA